UGUUUUUUUUUGUUUCUGAGAGGCACGGCCGUGCCUCUCGCGGAAGGAAAAAAAACAGAAAAUAUGUUUCUUUUGUUUCCGAGAGGCACGGGCGUGCCUCCCGCGAAAAGCACAACCGUGCCUCUCGUGGAAGCACAAUUGUGCCUCUCGCAGACGGGAAAAUAACAGAAAACGCGUUUUUUUUUUUUGUUUCCGAGAGGCGCGGCCGAGCCUCUCGCGGAAGUAAAAAAACGCGUUUUUUCCUGCAAAAAUUUCCAAGAGGCGCCAUUUAGGUCUGUACACUUACUGCAAAACUCGGUUUUGGGAAAAGAUCAUGGCCGGUUUUGGGAUCCUUCUAGAAGGUUUUAUUUCAAUUUUUCAUGUUUCUUUUCAAAAAAAAUCUUAAAUGAUUUUUUGCUUAUGUUAUUUUCCAAUCUAAAAAAAUCACAUUUUUUAAAGAUGUUUCGAAAUUUCAAAAUUAAUUAACUUGAGCUAAAAAUGUAUGGUAUUUCAAAUCAUGUUUGCAUUCUUCAUAAAAAGUUCAAAUAAAUCUAAGAGCGUUUGGAAUUUUAGAAAAAUGUUCGUGCUUGUAAAGAAUUUUUUAAACUAUUGGAAAAUAUUUGAAAAUUUGAAAAGUGCCCGUAUUCUAUUUUUUUUUUUAAAUUUGCAUAUUCGGAAAAUGUUUCCAAAUUUUCAAGAAUUGUUCAGUAUUUAAAAAAUAAUGUUUUCUGUGAAUUUUCAGAAAAUAUAAUGUUCUCUGCGGACUUUCCUUCCAUCAUCUUUCUUCAGCUUCAGUCUGCACUCCAUGGGUGUAGUACAGCUAUGCACUCACUCAUACCAGCCACUUCAAGGAUUUUCUCUGCAUAACCUUGUUAAUACAAAGUGAUUCGGUCCUCUGACUGUGUCACCUCGAUCCCCAAGUAGUAACUUAGGAGACCAAGGUCGCUCAUCUUGAAAAGCUACUGCAUCUACUCCUUGAAUGCGAUGAUAUGGGCCUUGUGAGUGCCGGUGAUAAUCAGAUCGUCCAUGUGUACACCCACAAGCAGAUAAGAAUGAGCAUCACCUCGCCGGUACACGGCAUGUUCCAGUGGGCUUCUGACGAACCCAAGGUCGCCCAGCAUUUCAUCCAGUUUGGCAUACCAAGCUCUUAGAGCUUGACGAAGGCCGUAAAGCGCCUUCUGAAGCUUCAGUACUCGUCGUUCACUCCCUGCUGCAGUGUACCCAGGCGGCUAUGUGACAUAAACCUCCUCCACGAGAUCGCCAUUAAGUAAAGCUGAUUUUACAUCCAUGUGGUGCACUUCCCAUCCAGAGUGCGCGGCGAGAGCGAGGAAGAGACUUACUGUCUCCAUGCGCGCCACUGGUGCAAGCACCUCCUUAAAAUGAACCCCUUCAUGCUGAGUGUAUCCCUUCGCCACCAAUCGUGCCUUAUGCUUGAUGAUGUUGCCAUCUGGGUCUCGUUUCACUUUGAAAACCCACUUCAGACCGAUUGCCUUGUGGCCACGAGGAAGAGAAGCGAGCUGUCAGGUUGAAUUUCAGCAAUGGAGUCCAUCUCAGCGUCCAUGGCUCCCUACCAGGCUGCAUCUCCGAGCGCUUCAUCAAUGUUGCCCGACUCCUCAGUGUUGAGCAAGCAGCGCUUCAUCGCCUCGCGCAUAGCCUCCCUCUCAGUCUCGCCGAGGACGCAGGAGAGAAGUCGGUAUCGAAUCGGCCCGGCGUCGACGUCACGUGCAUCGUCAUCGGUCAGCGGAGUGGCCCACCGGAUCUCUGGUGUGGUGGUGGGAGUCCUCAGCUCGGACUGUGACGACCCGGGCGUGUUCGCUGCUGGCGUGGCGGCCACAGAAGACUGCGGCGUCCCUGAGGCUGGUGUAGAGGGUGUCACCAUCCUCCGUGGCAAGACCAGCGAGGUGGUCGAGCCGCUGUUGAUCUCCUGAACGCCAUAGUCUGCGGUGUAAACCACAGUGAAUGUUGCUGGGGCUGCGCUCGUGCCAGGGGCGCUCCAAGUCGAAGGCCUGUUCUCUUCAAAAAUAGUCACGAGUUACCUGGACCUUCUUCGUCGCUGGAUCAUAUGCACGGUAUGCCUUGGAGACUUCUUCAUAACCAACGAACACCAUCGGUGUCGAUCGGUCGCUCAGCUUGGUGAUCUCGGGGCCGACGCGCUUGACGUGAACCGCGCACCCGAAAGUGCGCAGAUGCUGCAAGUUGGGCUUACAGCCAUGCCACGCCUCAUAGGGCGUGACACCAUCCAGCCUCCUAGUCAGCGCACGGUUCAGGAGAUAGACGGCCGUCCUCACCGCCUCCGCCAGAAGUACGCGGCAUACCCAUGCUCUUCAUCAUGCACCGAGCCAUCUCCACCACGAUCUGAUUCUGGUGUUCGACGACUUCGUUUUGCUGCAUAGAGUAUGUGCAGCAGUGAAGUACUUGAUGUUGUUCAGCUCUCAGUACUCCUUGAACUCUGUGGACUUGAAUUCGCCGCCGCGGUCCGAUCUGAACACGUGCAGUCUGCACUUGCCGCCGGCUUCGGCCAUCGCCUGGCCUUUCUUGAAGCGUGGGUAUGCCUCGUCUUUGGACUUCAAGAGCUCUAGCCACAUAUAGUGAUUGUGAUCGUCAGCCACAAGUAGGAAAUACUUGUUACCUCUCGGAGUCGUCGGUCUGAUCGGCCCGCACAGGUCCUUGUGCACGAGCUCCAAGACGCGCUUGGCUCAGUACGCCGGGGCAUGUGGGAACGGUGCGCCAUGUCGUAUCCCAAGGGCGCAGCCGUCGCUGUACUCCUCCACGCGAUCAAUUACGGGCAUGCCGCGCACAAGCUGCUUGGUGGACAUGGUGCGGAGUGCGUGGAAGUGGAGAUGCCCCAUGCGUGCGUGCCACUGCCAGGUUGCGUCGUCUCCUUCCGCCAUCAGGCACGCCGACGGGUCGAUUGUGAGGACGCCAGUGUACAGCUGGUUAUCGUAUUGCUUGAUGCGCGCCAGGACGCGCCACGCCGGAUCAUGGACAGCCAUGACGCCGUCCGCGAUGCUGAUGGUGCAGCCUGCCCCAUCCAACUGUCCAAUGGAGACGAUGUUGGUUCAUAGACUGGGAAUGUAGAAGACGUCGGUGAGACGUGCACUGGUCCCCGCUCUAACAGCGGAAUACCAUGCUGCCCCGUCCACGUAUGGCCACAACAGAGCCAUCCCCAAACUUCACCGUACCGUGCACAGUGUCAUCAAGCAACGAGAAGACAUGUCUGUCGCCCGUCAUAUGACUGCUGGCCACGGUGUCAAAGAACCACAUACCGUCUAGCGAGGGCACAGGCAUGACCUUCUCCUCGUUGAGGUACACCUCUUGAGGCGCCACGAGCUGCGUCGUGUCGACAUUGGUGACCACGGCCAUGUACAGACCCUGAUCGUGCUCGGUGCCGACUUGUACAAGAUUUGUCUGGUCCUAUUUGCCCUUCUCGUCCUCGUCGUUGAGCCAAGUCUGGCACUCCUUUUUCCAGUGCCCCGGCUUGUUGCAGUAGUGGCACUUGCCCUUUUAGUCCUCAUCCUUGAGCCGAGUCCGCGCUCCUUUUUCCAGUACCCUGGCUUGUUGCAGUAAUGACACUUUCCCUUCUUCUUCCUGUCGGAGCCGCACGCGCCCGCGCUCCCCAGCAUGGGCUUGUUGUCGCCCUGAGGCUUGUACUUGCCCGGCGACUUGUUCUUACCACUACCGCCGCCGGAUGAUGACCCGCCAACCCCGUGCUACCGCUCGCAUGUGGCCCACUCUGCGGCGGUGUACAUGAGGCGCACACCGGACUGCACCGUGUCGUCGAGGUUGUAGUGGUAUUCAUGCCGACAGACGCCCUGUCAGCUCCUCGAUCGACAUGUUUUUCAGAUCGAUAUUGGUACUUGUGCGGCACGACGCGGAGAAACUUCUGGACGGCCUUGUGCUUCGUCACGGGAUCGCCAUACGGCUCGAGGUUGGUGACGAGGCUGGAGAACCGCAGCACGAAAUCCUCGACGGACUCGCCGUCCUUUAAGCGGAGCUCCUCGAAUUCUCAAUGGUGAACCCGCGCGUUGGCCUCACGGGUGUGCUCGCUCCCCAUCCGGAGCGCCUUGAUCAUCUCCCAGGCCGUUUUGGCCGUGUCCUUGGUGGCCAGGACCCGGAGCAGCUUCAGCGGCACGCCGGUGAGGAUGAUCUGAAGUGCACGCCUGUCGUCGCUGUCCUCGGCGGUGCCAUUAGUCACCGCAGAUCAAACGCCCGCGAGCUGUAGCUUGACCUGCAUCACAAGAGCCCACUCCAUGUAGUUUGUGCGGGUGAGGACCAUAUUGUUGGCGAAGAGGUCUCGCUCUCCGGCACUUCUCUCUCGACGAUGCCUCCUCAGCCAAUGCGAAGAGGACUGUGGUCUGCGUUCCGUCCCCCUUCUUCUUUCCGUCUGACUCGUCGCCCGACAUGUGUGCCGUGGAUCAAACACCGCCGGCCACCAGAGAGUGGAUCAAACACCUCGCUCGGAUGCCCAUUGUCGUUGUCGAUCGGGCCAGAGAGGGAGAGAGGGAGACUCAAACACGAUGAACUCGAGCUUGAGAGAGUGGGAGCUUUUGUGUUGCUAAUAUUUCACAGCGUUUUCUGUUCUCAUUCCUCUCUGCAUACAUGUUGGCGUUUACAACGAACAAUAAAGAAGCUAAUUACCUCCCGGCGGGCACACCAUGCAUGAUCCGAGACGACCGCGCCAUCCCAUGGCCACAUCUCACAGCGCAUGCGCCCACUGGGAGAGAAAAAGGGAACAACGUGAUCGGUGCAUGCCAGGCACCCGACCCCCUAGCUACGUGCAUGUCCAGAUCACAUCACCCUUCAUGCAUUAUUUGCUACUCCCUUCGUUCCUAAAUAUAAGUCUUUGUAGACAUUUCACUAUGAACCACAUACGGAUGUAUAUAGAUGCGUUUUAGAGUAUAAUUCACUCAUUUUGCUCCAUAUGUAGUCCAUAGUGAAAUCUUUCCAAAGACUUAUAUUUAGGAACGUAGGGAGUAAAACAAAAAACUACUCUACGUGACAUGAGCUUAUCAGGUCUAACACCAGCAACAAGACAUGGUUCGCAGACAUGAGCAUUCAGAGAGACCCCAUCUUCGGCGGCCACCUGUCCCUUACGCCAUUGUUCAUAGAUGAUUGUACCGCUUCCUGGCUCGUCAACAUGGCAGCCUACGAGGCCUGCAUGGCUACCGGAUUUCCAUCAGACAACUUUUUCAUCAGCUUGUACAUCUCCCUCCUGGCAAUGCUCAUGGACAAGGAAGAGGAUGUGCAUGAGCAGCGAGCGAAGCACCUCGUUCGCAGCUUCUUCAGCAACCAUGAGCUGCUCGUUUUCCUCAAGGGCCUCGCUCGCCACCUGCGCCUCGGCAACCGCUACUUUGUCAUCACUGAGAAGAUUGAUACGUACAAGCGUGAAAAGCCUAUGAGCAUCGUCGGGUAUAGUUUCGCCUACAACAACAGCAGAGUCAUCAGAGUCAUGGCUGCCUUUCUCUCUAUAGGUAGCGUGCUCGCAGGUACCUUCAGAACCUUGAUGAGUCUCAAGCAGCAUCAGCCGUAGCAGUUCGAACGAACAAUGUGCAUUUGAUAAACUGAUUUCUGAUUAGUCUACAAAUCGUGCUUAUUGCGGUGUGAUCGACGUCAUACAGUUUCCGUGUGUAAAAUUAUACCAUCACAUCCACCUUGGUUUGAUCCCUUGUUAGAUUUAUAUUACAUGGUGUGAUUUUUCUGAUCACAGUACAGGUAUAAUGUAUAACCAGUAUGUAUACCUCUACUUGUGCUAUCUUUAUAAAUCUGUCUAGUCAAGGGCCAACCCCUUCCCUUUGAUCUUCUUACUAGUUAGGUGUAUCAAAUGUACCUGAAUUUUGUGUCGCUAGUUGUUUGUACCUGAAGUUUGUAUCAUCAGUGGUUAUUCAAGAUAGAUAUCGUCAGCUUCCAAGCCCAGCGCAUUCCUUUUCUUGAUAAAAGCUAGCGCAUUCAUGUUUGAUUAUCUAGCUUCCUAGGCCAGCGCCUUCCUAUUCUCUUAGUUAUCUCUGCCUUUUCUAAUUGGAGAUGUCGAAACAUCAGACUGAAUGAAUGAAUCCCUAAGAAAAUUAGAAUAGAAGAUGCUUGCAGCUGUGAAGAGGAGGAACAAGAAAACAGAGGAAAGCUUAUUAAGAGCAGAGUAGUAAUGUGCCAAAGGUUGGUCCAAUCCAGUAACGAGUAGUAUUUUCUAGAUUUUAGUUUGGGUCUGAGACUGAGUGUAAAUUCGGAUAAAACUGUAACUUUCCUAUGGUUUAGGAGUCAAAAAAUUUCUGUGCCAAUGUUCGCUCAAAGUUUCCUUUGAAACGCCAAACUUCCAAGGCUGGUGGUUUUGCCUGUUUACCAAAAGGUACGCUGGCUUAGAAGACUGGCAGUCACAGAUACAAGCAUCAUAGACAUGCAAAUCAAGUGGCAGUCCUUUUGUUUGAGGAGGGCGUAUCCCUAUCCCUGACAAGGAGGUGACUGAGGCCCUGUUUGGUUCAUAAGUCCUAGGACUUUUUUUAGUCCUAACUUAUAAGUUCCAAGUCCCUAAAAAGUCCCUACGUGUUUGGUUCCUGGGCUUAUAAGUUCCUAUAAGACCAUAUUACAACUAUAAGUCUCUAUAAGUCCCUCCUUGAGAGUCUUAUUUCAUAAGUCCCAAAUGCCCAUUUUAAGUCCCUAUAAGUCCCUCCUGUUUGGUUUAGAUGGGACUUAUAGGGACUUUUUUAAGUCCCUAAGCCAAUAAGUCCCUAGAAACAAACACCCUCUGAGCUCACGCGGUUUUGAUGAAGCCGCAGCAAUCACCAUAGAGAGGGAUAAAAGGCUUCAAAUCAGAGAGAUUUUUAUUAGUCAGGAUCCGUUUUGAGCUACAUACGACCAUCUAGUCGCUACACUCUACUAGAAGAACCCAAUGAGAUCCCAAUCAUUUCAGCACGAUCUCAAAACAAAAUGCAAUGUCUGACGAUCUCAAAACAAGACAACAAUUGUUUGUGUAAUGCAAGGGCGGAUGUGACUCUGGCAUAAAAGGGCACCACACAAACACAAACACACACAGUUUCUGUCAUUCAAGCUCCGCAACUUAAUAUUGACACAAACAUCGUAUANNNNNNNNNNNNNNNNNNNNNNNNNNNNNNNNNNNNNNNNNNNNNNNNNNNNNNNNNNNNNNNNNNNNNNNNNNNNNNNNNNNNNNNNNNNNNNNNNNNNNNNNNNNNNNNNNNNNNNNNNNNNNNNNNNNNNNNNNNNNNNNNNNNNNNNNNNNNNNNNNNNNNNNNNNNNNNNNNNNNNNNNNNNNNNNNNNNNNNNNNNNNNNNNNNNNNNNNNNNNNNNNNNNNNNNNNNNNNNNNNNNNNNNNNNNNNNNNNNNNNNNNNNNNNNAAAUACAUCCGACAGCAAGGUCGUCGAUACACAUAUCAAAGUAAAUCACAACCAAUUACGUAACAAGCAUGCACACAUACAUUUUCAUGCACACAUACGUUUACAUGCACACAUACUUAUUCAGGCACGACACACAAAUAGAUUGAGAGAGAAUCGGUCACGCAACACAUAGCUCAUGGCUCAUGCCUCGGUUUGCACCCAUUGCUGUGCGGAAUGAUGCUCGAGUCGGUGAAGUGGCCCUUGAGCUCCACUUCUUUCAACAUGUCAAGGUGGCAGAUUCCAGAAAGCGUGCCCGCCUGAUUGAUGGCCAUGUUGCGCCAAACAAUCUUCUUGAGCCGAGGGCAAGGUGCUUCCUUGUUGACGGCCAUGUUGCGCCAAAGGAUCUUUUUGAGUUGAGGUAAAUGUGUUGUGCUGUCUUCUUCAAAGUCGACGGUGGUGAUGGUGUCGCCCUCGAUGAUGAGAAACCUGAGGUCUUGGAAUCCAUCCUUGCUGAAGGUGAGCUUGUGCUCGUUGUACGAGUUGUGACGGAGCCGAAGGCAGCGCAAGUGAUGGAGAUUGUUGCCAAGGUCCUGCAGAGAGUCUGUAGAUAGAAAAGUGUUCCACAGUGUAAUCUCAGAGAGUAGAUGUAGCUCGCAGAUCCAGCGAGGCAGCCCGGAGUUGGGAAAGCGCACGCCCUUGAUAUUCAGGCUCUUGAGUAACCUGGGUGCACUUUGCUCCGAUGUCAUCUCCAUAUUCAGAGUGACACUAUGGUCUCCAUUUGUGGGUGGUGGAGUGACCCAUAUUGAGAGAGAGCGUAAGCACUCUCUCAGCUUGGCGAUUGCUUGGAGUAGAUUGUCCAUGCUGUAUUGAGCUUGGCUUUGGCUAUGGACGAGAACCACGCCCAGCUUCCUAAGCUUCAGCAGGCGGCCAACUUCUUCGAAUUCCUUCUUGCCAUACCAAACCUUGACCCGGGAUAGUGUUAAGCGAUAGCGUUGGUUAGCUGUACCUAUUGUUUAGGGAUUGUGUAUAUCCUAACUAUGGCAAGGAUCGGUUGUGAUCCUAGCCUUGCCUUGUACUCCAAACAAUGUAUAUGUUGUUGUCUAUAUAAUGAGAAAGCCCCACGCUGGGCAAAGUACGGCGAAAAUACUCUCGAUCUAUUCGGUUUUAACUCGGUAACAGAGCGAUCGUUCCGAUCCAAUCUCCCGAGGCUGCACACAAUGACUACGCUCGCGCCGCAGCUCUCUGGCACCGCCGGCGCGAUCACCUCCUCCUCUUCCGCUUCCUUAGCCGCCGGCGUUGCCACCUCCAUCCCCACCACCCUCCCUACCACUUUCAACAACACCAUUACCGUCCGUUUAGAUCGCUCCAACUAUCUCCUGUGGAAAACCCAGGUCGUGCCUGCCAUUGCCGGCCAAGGGUGGUAUGGCUUCCUGGACGGGUCUUGCGCCUGCCCUCCCGCCACCAUCACCACGGGGAGCGGGGACACCGCCACCACGGCGGCCAACCCGGAGUUUGCGCGUUGGUGGUACGCCGACCAGCGUGUCCUCUCGAUCCUUGUCGGAUCGAUGAGCGAGGACAUCCUCGCGCAGAUGGUCGGGCGCACCACGUCGGCUUCGGUCUGGGGCUGCGUCACCGACCUGUUUUCCGCCCAAAAUCGGGCCGGGAUCCGUCAGAUCCGUCGCCAGCUGAUGACAUUAAAGAAGAACGACAUGUCCGCCGCCGACUACUACAGCAAGAUGAAGGGGUUUGCCGACGCCAUGGCAAUGGCGGGCUCCCCCGUCCCCGAUGAUGAACUGAUCGACUACAUCGUUGUUGGCCUCGGAUCCCAAUUCGAGGCACUUCAGCAGGCUCUCGCCGUUCUCGGUGCCGCCAAUGCCUCCCUGUCUCUCUCUGAAUUUUACCCCAUGUUGCUGUCUUGUGAGGCGAUCCAGGUGCAGAACGCCCAGGCCGGCGGAUACUCCUCCUCGGCGAACGCCGCGGCUCGGCAGGGUGACAGCAGCCGCGGUGGAGGCCGCCCUUUCGACAACACCGGGCGCUCUGGUGGUGCCCCUUCGCAUGGCAGCGGUGGCCAACACGGUGGUGGCCACUAUGGCAGCGGCGGCUCCUACAACGGUGGCCAGGAAGCUAACCGCAACACAAACCGCAACGGCGGCGGUGGUACCGGCGGACAAGGCGGCGGCAGUGGUGGUGGCAACCGUCGCUGGCGCCCACGUUGUCAGGUCUGCAAGGCAUGGGGUCAUGAGGCCCUCUCCUGCAAGAAUCGCUACAACGACGCCUUUCAGGCCGAUGGACAGCGCUCCGGCAAUGCGGCCGCCUCCACCCACAGCCACAACGAGCGGGUGCCCCAGACACAGCCGUGGUUUUUCGACACCGGGGCAACCGAUCAUCUCACCAAUGACAUGGACCGGCUAGGCAUCCAUGAACGCUACCACGGGAAGGACCAGGUUCAAACAGCAAACGGCUCAGGUAUGUCUAUUACGCACAUUGGUCAAUCUCGUUUAGCUGGUUCUUCCCUAGCCUUGAACAAUAUCCUCCAUGUCCCUUCGUUAGCCAAAAAUUUACUCUCCGUUUAUCGCCUUGUUUCUGACAAUAACAUCUUCCUCGAAUUUCACAAAUAUUUCUUUCUUGUUAAGGACAAGGUAACGAAGAAAAUCCUCCUUCGCGGUAGGAGUCGUGGCGGCCUUUAUCCUCUUCCGUUCGGUCGAGCCUCCCAUCAUGAGAAGCAUGCGUCUUCUGGUGUCAAGCUUUCAUCGCACCACCGGCACCAGCGUCUUGGUCAUUCGUCGAAUAAAGUAGUUCAAACCACUAUCAAGUCCAAUAAUCUCCCGUGUACUCCAAACAAUGAGUCUUUUAUUUGUGAUGCUUGUCAGCGUGCUAAGAGUCAUCAAUUGCCUUAUGGUUAUUCCACUCGUGUGUCUACUGCACCUCUUGAGCUUGUUCAUACCGAUGUUUGGGGUCCGGCGUUAUCCUCUUCUGGGGGUUUUAAAUACUACGUUAGUUUUAUUGAUGACUAUAGUCGCUACUAUUGGAUAUACUUGCUUAAGCAUAAAUCCGAUGUUGAGAAUGUUUUCUAUGUGUUUCAGAAGCACGUUGAGCGCCUCUUAAACACCACUAUUCGCGCCGUGCAGUCUGAUUGGGGCGGUGAGUAUCACCGUCUCCAUGCCUAUUUCCAGCGCACCGGUAUUUCCCACCGUGUGUCGUGUCCUCAUACAUCUCAACAAAACGGUAUUGCUGAACGGAAGCAUCAACAUCUUGUCGAGACUGGGCUAGCUCUCCUUGCGCAUUCCUCUCUUCCCCUCCGGUACUGGGAUGAAGCAUUCCUCACCGCAUGUUAUCUUAUCAAUAGAAUGCCUACCCCAGUCAUUAAUCAUGCCACUCCUCUCUUUCGUCUUCUCAACAUAGCCCCCGAGUACUCCUUCCUCCGUACGUUUGGAUGCGCAUGCUGGCCUAGCCUUCGAAAAUAUAACUCCCGUAAGUUAGAGUUUCGCUCCAAAAUGUGCGUGUUUCUUGGAUAUAGUCCUAUGCACAAAGGCUACAAAUGCCUCGAUUGCAGUACCGGUCGCAUCUACAUAUCUCGCGAUGUUGCUUUCGACGAGAAUGUUUUUCCGUUUGCCACUCCAGGUGCGGUGGUCGACGUGUCUCAGCUCCUACCUGUAUCUUUUCCUCCGAAAGAACCAGUUGUUCAGAAUGAUCAUGCACGUAAUUAUGACAUGUCCUUGUUACCCGUUGAUGCUCCUGGUGUUUCUUCUGUUGUUUCUGUUCAGGUACCAGCCCGGGCGAUCAACGUACACGACGCAGGAACGGCUGACGUGCAUGUGCAUGUCCCGCCCCCCGAGGCGCCCAGUGCUUCGCCUCGGCCCGCCAGCCCAUGCCUGGCCACUGCCUCGUCCUCGCCGAGCUCCGCUUCAUGGGCCACAGUCGCCCACUGCCGCUACUGGGCCCGGCGUGGAUGCUGGAUCGAUUUCUCCAGUGGCCAGCUCCCCUGUACUCGACCAGGGGGAGGAUCUUUCGCCGCCACCCUCUGCCGAUGUCUCCUCUGCGACAUCCUCAGUGCCGCCUGCUACUCCGACAGCACCUCAACCUAUGACGACACGGCAGCGCAACAAUGUGUUCCGUCCGAAGGUGUGGACGGACGGUAUGGUCCGGUAUGACCCGUAUCGCCGCGGAGCGUUUCUUGCUGUUCCGGCGACGCAUCGGGUUGCUCUUUCGGAACCUGCAUGGAGGACCGCCAUGGAGGCAGAGUUCGACGCCCUUCAGCGGACUCACACAUGGGUACUUGUCCCUCGACCCCCCGGUACUAACAUUGUUGGCAGUAAAUGGAUAUUCAAGACGAAGUUUCGCCCUGAUGGCUCUGUUGAUAAAUACAAAGCCCGUCUCGUUGCUCGUGGUUUCACUCAGCAGUAUGGCAUCGAUUAUCAUGACACCUUCAGUCCGGUGGUCAAACCUGUCACUGUUCGUCUUGUGCUCUCCCUCGCCGUGUCGCGUGGAUGGUGUCUUCGCCAGAUUGAUGUCAGUAAUGCGUUUCUCCAUGGUUUCUUGUCUGAGGACGUGUAUAUGCAGCAGCCUCCUGGUUUUGAGGAUCCUCGGUAUCCGCGACAUGUUUGCAAACUUCAGCGUGCUUUGUAUGGUUUGAAGCAGUCUCAUCGCGCCUGGUAUGCCCGUUUAAGUGAUAAACUUCAUCAGCUUGGUUUUGUUUCCAGCAAAGCAGAUACCUCUCUGAUCAUCUUCGAUCAUCAAGGUGUUCAGGUAUUCAUGUUGGUGUAUGUCGAUGACAUUGUUAUCGCUGGUUCUUCGGCUGCUGCUGUUGAUCGCCUUAUUCAGACUCUCGCCGGCACUUUUCCUAUCAAGGAUCUUGGGCGUUUGGAGUAUUUUCUCGGUAUUGAGGCUCAAUAUCGUUCUUCUGGUCUACUUCUUACUCAGCAUAAGUAUGCCCUUGAUCUUCUGCAUCGUGCUAACAUGGAGAGUUGUCGUUCAGUUACCACCCCCAUGUCAUCCACGGAUAAACUCUCUCGUGCUGCUGGUAUUGUGCUUUCUGCUGACGAUGCUUUUAAAUACCGGAGUUUGGUUGGGGGUUUGCAGUAUCUCACUUUGACGCGGCCAGAUAUUUCUUUUGCUGUCAACAAAGUUUGCCAGUUUCUGUCUCAACCGACCACUGUUCAUUAUGAAGCUGUCAAGCGUAUCCUUCGGUAUGUCAAGGGCACUGUCUCUACGGGACUGCAGUUUGCACGUUCUCCUUCGUGUGCUCUCCACAUCUACACUGAUGCUGAUUGGGCUGGCUGUUCAGAUGAUCGGCGCUCCACUGGCGGUUUCGCCAUCUUCUUUGGUCCAAACCUUGUCUCCUGGAGCUCUCGUAAGCAACCCACUGUCUCUCGUUCGAGUACCGAAGCUGAAUACAAAGCCCUGGCUAAUGGCACUGCCGCGGCUACUUGGAUACAGUAUGUGCUGCGGGAUCUUGGAGUGCAUCUCUCCACACCGCCGGUUUUAUGGUGUGACAACCUCGGCGCUACGUACUUAUCGGCGAAUCCUGUCUUCCAUGCACAUACCAAGCAUAUUGAGAUUGACUUCCACUUCGUUCGCGAGAAGGUGGCCAUGGGCGCUCUUGAUGUUCGGUUCAUCGCGUCUAGUGAUCAACUAGCUGACAUGUUCACUAAACCCGCUACUCAUCUCACCCUCCGUCGAUUUCAGUCCAAUCUAAAUCUCGUUCACGUCGGUUCAGAUUGAGGGGGAGUGUUAAGCGAUAGCGUUGGUUAGCUGUACCUAUUGUUUAGGGAUUGUGUAUAUCCUAACUAUGGCAAGGAUCGGUUGUGAUCCUAGCCUUGCCUUGUACUCCAAACAAUGUAUAUGUUGUUGUCUAUAUAAUGAGAAAGCCCCACGCUGGGCAAAGUACGGCAAAAAUACUCUCGAUCUAUUCGGUUUUAACUGAUAGUAUCUCCAUGUCUUUCAUCUUCCCAAUCCUACCAGGCAUACCCGCCCAGCAGAGUGUCUCCUCCUCCGUCCUCAUCUUCAGGCUGGUAAGUAGGUGCUUUAGCUUUCGGAGGUAAAUGUAGUUCAUGUGUCGGCCCCGUACCUUAGUUUCCCAGAUGUCGAGUGUCUCCAACAUUAUGAGAUUGUUGAUCUCCCAGGGCAGGUGGGAGACAUCUGCUUUCCGGAGGCUAAGGUACUUGAGCGAGACCACCUUGCAGAUGCUCUUGAGGUGGCUCUUUUGUAGACCCUUGCAGCCCCCAAGAUCCAGCACGUUCAGCCGGUAGGCUUGGUGAAGAGAAUCGAGGAAGUUGAGCAUGUCAACCAUGGGAUUAGGAUCCACCGCCGUGUUGCAUCCGGCGGCGGCAUCCCGCGGCCGCAGAUGCUCCAAGGGUGUCGUGGUCGUGGAUGAUUCUUCUGUAGUUGCUCUGCUUGCCGUUUCACAAAGCGUCGGAUGCGAAUCUGCUAGUGGAGGUGAGUCGGCAGGUUGUCCACAAAGUUAUCAGUUGUGGACAUACGAUGGAGGAACUUCCAGAUGAUGUCAUCAAUUGUGCAGCUCUUGACCUUGCAGGUGGCAGUGGUUGGGUCGUUGACAGGAAGAAGGAACCCCCGGAAGAGGAGAUCUUUAAAGCAGAGCUCCGCUGCCUCCUCGAGGGAAGCAGCAACUUGCUUCUCCACCUCCUUGAGGGAAUCAUCAACUUGCUUCUCCACGCGGCCUUCAGCGAGCCAUCGCCGGACCAAGCUUGUCCUGCUGAUGGUGGCUUCUUCGUGGAAGGCAUAGAGAUACUGCAAGCAGCUCUUGUAACUCCUAGACAACUUGCUGUAGCAGAAGAUCAUCACUUGAGUGGGAAAAUCUUUGAUAUCCAUGCCAGCAUCCUUGACUAAUUUCUUCAGUUCUCCAUUGGUCUUCUCAACCGCCUGGUAGACAUUGCUAUGAUCCCGAAGAGCACGGAGAAGCAUCUCCAUGCAGACGGCCGCACUCCGAUCUUGCGACAAAUUACUAAGGAGGCACUUACGUACAUCAGUGGCUGCCGAUUGAAGAUCCUUAUUAAUGAGGAGGAUGGCCUCUUUAAAAAAAAAGGGAGUUCCUGCUUCUUCUUCUUCUUCUUCUUCUUGUCACGUGCUAGCGCACGUGCAAAUUCUUCUCUGGCCUCGUCGAUCUUGUCCUGGCUAGGUAGGACCUCGGCCAGCGUCAGCGGGGCCUCCUCAACCGUGGGGAUGAUGACGCCGUAGCGCUCCCGCCUCUGGCCGACGUCAUGGACGCGGGCCUUGAGCUCACUGAUCCUCUUGGCCAAGCGGUGGCGUGCACAACACCUCCAGAGGAGCAUGGGGAGGUACUCGAGGUAGGCCUGAAGGCCCCUGCCGGACGGGCCGGGGAAAUCACGCUUGUAGAGCUCGACACAGUCCUGGGCGAUGUAGGAUAUAUCACGGAUCUACAAGAAUCCAUCUCAGACGUUUUAGGUCGAUUUUGUGUGUAUAUAGGAAACUAAACAGGAGGACUUUACCAACUCAUGGUUGCAAGGGAUUAGUGGAACAUUUCAUCUUCUAUGUAUACUAGCAUAGUGACCCGCGCAAUUGUGGAGGCAACAUCAUAACAUGUCUAAUAUUCUUCACCAAAGAUCGAUGUUAGAAGAAAAGGUACAUACCCACUAAGGUAUUUAUAGUAAUAUAAAAGUACAUAUAAUUUGUUAAUUAUAUAAACUAUUAUAAAUGAUUUCAAAGCUGAGGAAUAAUAGUAUUAUAUGUGCACUCUUUUUUGUUACAGAACCAUUUGCAUCAAUUUUGUAUCCAUAUUUAAGAAUUAUUGUGCCUUACUGUCAGAGCAAUAAAAUAAGUUAAACACAUAAGUUUAGUAAUACAUGUUCAUAUUCACCCUGUUUUGUAGGUAGCGCUGGUUAAACUAUUAUGGCAUUAUAGACUACUUUGUAUUUCUUUUCUCGAAAAGCAAUUGUCUAGCUGACCCAAUCUAUACAUUAAGUGAACAUAUUCAUGAUUGAUCAACGGCUAAGUUCGCCUUCAAGUCUUUUUGACACGGCUUAGGCAUCAGAUUCAUCUAGAGUGUUUUUAUCCCAUCUUAAAUGCGUUUUUCUUUUUUGAUCUUUGUUUUAGGACUGUGUGAUACAGAACCAUAAUGCAGAGAUUUUGUUUAACUUCUGCCGAUUGGGCGAUAAUAAUGGCCUUAAAGAAAUCUAGAAACUCUCUCGCUUUUUUUUCUAAUAAGGCAUAUGUUUCUCCUCAAAUCUACAUAUUUCCUAACCUGCACCUAUCAAUUUUUAUAUUAUAUUGGCCAGUUGACAGUUUGCAUGUGUUUUUGUAUCCAACAAUUGUCGUGCCUGACUUUUAGCGAAAAUAAAAGAAUUAAUCUGACAUAUAAGAUGAGUGGUACAUGCCCAUGUCAGCUUUGAUCGAUUGCCAGGUUGAUAAUUGCUACAUUUUUGUGGUUUUAUAGACUAAUGCUCAAUUUGUAUGUAAGUAUAGUUGGUUGACCACCUCGCUAUACAAUAAAAAAAAUAUGUUUAUAUUGCCAGCAACUGAGGUUUCAAUUUUCUGAAGUCUUGAUCAACCAAGCUUAGCCAUCAGAUUCAUCUCGAGCAUUUUAUUACAUCUUAAAUGUAAACAAAUUCGGUGAAAUAUUAUAACUCAAACUAUGAGUCUGCAUGUCGGCGUUUGUACACUAAUUUGCCAGUCUACUUGUGACUGAUGUUUGAAUAUGGCAUAGACUUGUAAACCAUUAGGUGGAAUAAAAUUUAGGUCGCGGAACGAACAAUCGGACACUUGAUAUUGUUUGUAUUGAUUGAUCCAUCAGAUUUAUUUCACAUAUUAUUGGGUUUACACAUAUUGUUAGACGGAUACACUGAAUUAAUGUUCAUCUCGCGAGUGAGUUGGUUGCAUGGUCAUUGUAGUGAACUGGUAGGUUGAUGUAAAUAAUAUUAUAUCGUGUGCAAUAAUAUUGCAAGUCGGUUAGCUUAGUCGUUUAUAGUGAGAACAAAGGCAUAAAGCAUAGUACCAUCACAUGUUAAAGUAACGUGAAAGAUAAUUUGUAUUCCGUGACAAACUCCAGGCAUGGUCUCUUUGUUGUAUUGGCUAUAUGUUCAAAGCAAGGUAAGCACAAACAUACCGGAGAAUAUGAAAGAGAUUGAGCGCAGAAAUACAUAUUUGGACUCAUAUCCUAAACUGAUCCAUACAUUUGUCAUUAUCUAUUAAAUGUGAUAUCCUUAGAUACAUUUAUAAUAAUUAAUUUUAUCAUAGAUAUAGUUACAGAGACCUAAAUAUAAUUAUUUAAGAAUAUUUAUUAAAUAUACCAUAUGUGGUAUGCUUAAGUAAGUUAUGCAGAUGUAUCUUUUGUGAUAUUUCUACAAACAAUUAGAAAUGUCUUUAUUAUGAUCGAUAAUUCAGCAGGGUCCACUAUAUUAAUGGCUUGAUCAUGUUUAGGUGUACUUCAAAAAUGAACCUAUAUGUGCCAAUUGAACAAAGUUUGAUCCGGUGAACCACAAUAAUGAAGAUGAUGAUAAUAAUAAAUGUAAAAUAGGAGAAAAAUGAAUUUAUUAAUGCCAAAUCCUGAAGGGUAUUAUCUGCAUUUAUGAACAUUUGACUGGCCUUAAGAAAAUUAUUUCUAAAGUGAGGUGUAUUGUUUUGGUGAAGCACAAUUAAGGCAUGAUGAAUGAGUUGGAACUUUUCCUUGGGGGCAUAGCUGCGGGGAGCGACGCGAACGUGGGCGCAGCUAGCUCGCUUGGGGGCAUAGCCGGACCAGCCUUGAGCACGCUACAUCCCUUGGCAGGGCAGGCCAGCAUUGUCGUCAGCGGCGUAUCCCAACCCAGACUGAAACAAUGAGAGGAUGGGGCGGCAACGGGAGGACGCACAGCACGAGGCUCGCGGGCAGCUCGGCAAGAGGCACGGCAGCAUGCUGGCCGGGACUUAGNNNNNNNNNNNNNNNNNNNNNNNNNNNNNNNNNNNNNNNNNNNNNNNNNNNNNNNNNNNNNNNNNNNNNNNNNNNNNNNNNNNNNNNNNNNNNNNNNNNNNNNNNNNNNNNNNNNNNNNNNNNNNNNNNNNNNNNNNNNNNNNNNNNNNNNNNNNNNNNNNNNNNNNNNNNNCCAAAGUGGCUGCCGUCGUUGCGUGAUUGUGGUCAAUGGCGCACGCUCGACUGGAGGGAUUUUGACGACAGCCUGCAAGACUUGCACUAUGACCUGAUGAUGUAGCAAUUUGUUUUCAUUUUGUGCAGAUCACUAUAUUGAGUCGUCCCUGAUUCCUACCUCCAGUGUUGGUGCCAUGGACAGCGAUGGUAUCGAGAUCCAAGAGAUGGUGAGAAAUACGAGGGAGAGACUAGAGGCUGACUUCCCCAAACUUGCAACCAAUAUCCACAGGUUCCCACGAGGCUUAUUACGAGCGGGGAUCGAUGAACGCUAUGUCAUCCCAAGCUUCAUGUCCCUUAGCCCGUACCACCAUGGCUCACCACACCUGUGGGAGACGGAGGAGUUGAAGCACGUGGCAGCCCACUACUUGUGCGAGAUGUCAGGCCACUCAGUUGUGCAAGUCUACGACAAGAUCCAUCAUAUCUUUGUUGAAGCCCACAUCUGCUACGAUCGUGACGCAGUGGCGAAGUUCACCGACUUUGAAUUUGCGGUAAUGAUGUUUCUCGAUGGUUGCUUUACUCUAUAUGAUGGGGACUAAAGGAUGUGCUUUUAAAAAAAAUCAGAUGACCUUGUCCACGGGGCCCUGCAUGCUAAGUGAUAUCAUUCUGUUGGACAAUCAGCUCUCUUGGUUAGUCAUUGAGGGCGUGUUUGGCAGCCGUAGCUCGCGGCCCUAGCUUAGCUCAGCCUGACUCAAAUGGAGGCUAGUUGAGGAAAUGCAGGCUGUAAUGCAACAUCUUCAAAUUGUUUGGUUGCCCACAUCUAGUUCUCUCACAUUAGGGGAUCGCUUAGUGUGUGGAGUUUGGUUGCCCGCAUUGUAUGAACUCACACAUAAGCACAUGUUUGGUUGCACACACAGUGUGAGGUGUGCUAACCAUGUACCCUACACUAGUAGAAAAACAUCUAAUAGUCCCGGUUCGUAAGGGCCUUUAGUCCCAGUUCAUGAACCGGGACUAAUGGGUCGUUAAUAAUACCUCCACCCAUUAGUCCCGGUUCAAACACGAACCGGGACCAAUGUGCCUCCACGUGGCCCUGUGCGCCGAGCCCAGUCAGGGGGCCUUUGGUCCCGGUUGGUGGUACCAACCAGGACCAAAAGGCAUCCACGCGUCAGCCUUCCCGUGGCUGGGGUUUUUGUUUUUUUUUUGAAAGGAGGGGGGUUGGGGGUUUUGCGGGGUUAAUUUAGGUGUUUCAUAUAUUGUGUUAGCUAGCUAAUUAAUAGAGAGAAGUGUCCUUUCUUAUGUCCGUGCUUGGUCGACGCUACGUACUAUAUAUACAUAAGUGAUCGAGAGAACCAUUGAGUACAGAAGUUCGUCAUGCAUACCGAGAGAAGUGAUCGAUCGACCUCUCCUUCUCCGAGAGAUUGGUCGAACAACAAGUUUUCGUAUAUUAUGUAUCUGACGCUACUGGCUACAUACAUGUACAAUAUGUAUAAGAUCUCUUAAUUACAAUCCCCUAGCAAUUGAAAUCACUUUCCACAUGGUAUUAUCCGGCUUUAUUGAUGACGUGGUCAAGAAAGAAUCCCGCCAAUUCCUCUUGAAUUGCUUUCAUGCGAUCUGGUUCUAGGAGUUCAUUCCGCAUCUGCCACGUCUAAUUUGAAGAAGGGGGUUAAUUAAUACAUAUAUAUGAAUGAAACUCAACAGAAAUAAUGGUGUAAUAAAAUGAAAUUAUGAAUAUUAUUGCUUACGCACUUCAUAUUGUCUUUGAGAGUAGCCCCGCUUAUUUUUCAAAGUCGUGUUGUGGAUGAACUCGCACACGUAGUAUCCACAGAAAUCAUUCCCUUCUUCCUACCACAAGCACUUUACGAGAAAUAGAGGUCAAUCAAACUGAUAAUGAAGCAUUAUAAAUGGCAUUGAUGAAAGUAUAGCUAUAGAAUCAACGGGAGAUGCGCGCAACUAGCUAGCCAGUAGUACUUACUUUCGGGUAUGUAUAUCGCAGCUCCUUCGGCAGUCCCGGAGCUUGUGCGGUGAACUGUUUCCAAACCCUGCAAGACAAAGAAAAUAAUUAUUAUUACUUAUGGUGAGAUAAUGAUCGAUUGAACUUACUUGCUGAGCAUUUCAGUCAUGUCCGCAUAGGUUUUGGGAUCUUUCCGUCUCGAGUCUAAGACGGUUACUAGUCCACGCUCAAGCUUAAUCUCCAAAAGAAUAUAGUGGUACAUGCGCACGCAUGCAUAACUCAUCAAUUACAUUACUAUAACCUCGCUCGAGUAAUAAGGGAAACCGAAUAUGCACACGACAGUAACACUCACUUGCCGUUCUAAGGAAAGAGUAUGGUAUCUUUAUUUUGAUUUUUGAUCAACGAUUGUAGUACGUUGUCCUCGGCCUCUUUGACGUCCUUUUUAACCAGAAAUUCAUCUAUGGUAUUUGUGUUAAUGAACCCAAUAUCAUAAAUUUCUUGUUUUUUGCACUCGACGAUCUUCAAUCUGCAUAAUAUAUUGAGGAUAAUUAAUUAUAAAUACAUGAAAUGAAAGAGCCGAGCUAUAUAUAGAGACUUAAUAACAGAAAUAGUACUUACAGACAGUAGCAAAAGACCAUUAGUUUAUCAAGGGCCUUUUGAUUGAAGAACGCGAAGAACUCAUCAAAUGGAACAGUCAACAGAUCAUUUGCAACGAGGUCGUGCUCCUCUUUAAUAUUCAGAUACAAAGCAUUCGUACCCCUAGACUCUCUGCAGGUUUCCAUGUACCAAUUAUGGAAUCUUCGCAUCAUUGUUGUUAGAGAUUUUUCAUCUUUGACGAGAGGCUUCCCGUACUCGUAUCUGUGUUCGUCCACCUCCAAGAAAUCAGAAAGUUGAUCGUCAGGCAGGUAAUCUGCAAGAUUGCCAUAACCGGCCACCGUCCCCAGAGCAUUAGACACAUUGAGCGGGGGGCACGAUUGUUGUGCUUGUUCGCCGAGCUGGGCAAUUUUUCCUCUUUGCUCGUUCUUUUGACCUUUUAGCACUGGCAGUAGUUCCCGACCGCUGGGCUUGGAGAUAUGUCUGUUCAGUAAUGCGCUCAUAGUUGGUUCUCGGUGGAGACUUUGAUGGUUUCCUUAGGGCAUCGAUAGUGCGCUUUGCUUUCACCGGAUCUACCUUCUCCUCCGGAGGUGGAUGUCUCUUUGCUUUCACCCCUUCAAAGAACUCCUUCACAUGGGUCCGCACAAUCGUAUCGUUUUCCUCCUCGGUCCUCUUGUACGGUAACUUCUCUAGAGGCUUAAGAGGUGGACCAUAUCUGUAUUGCCCCCCGCCUCUGGUUGUGCUGCUAGACGCCGGAGCAGACGGAGCGGCUGCGGCAUCUCUCUUCUUUCGUGCUUGCUUACGAGGCAGAGGAGAAGGAGUACGACGUUGCUUGGUGGAAGCCACGCUGCUUCUCCGCUGAGAUGGCGGGGUAGCUUCGGGGGAAGCUUCGGCAGGUCGUUUGCUGCGAUCUGCUGCUUCUCGUUCCUCUUCUCGUUCCUCUAGCCCCAUUACCCUUUCGUGCAGCGCCUGCAGUUGGCCCUGCUACAGUUUCUUCCUCCUCUCGUGGGUUUUGUAACCCCCUGCGUCCGGAAAACCAACCUUCCACGGAAUGGAGCCUGGUGUGCCUCGUGUCCGUCCAGGGUGCUCAGGAUUCCAGAGGGACAUUGUGAGCUUGUCCUUCUCCCUGUCUGGUACGAACGUCCUUUUCUGCGCUACAUUGAUAUAGUGUCGAAGGUUCUUGACUGGUAUUUCUAGUUGCUCGUUCGUCCAACGGCACAUCCCUGAUACAGGGUCCAAGGUUCCGCCAGCCCCGAAGAACCAAGUCCGGCAACGGUCUGGCCAUCUCAUUGUCUCUGGUUCGAUCCCUUUUUCAAGCAGAUCAUUCUCAGCCUUGGACCACUUAGGCCGGGCUUUGAGGUAGCCACCUGACCCCGUGCGAUGGUGAAGCUUCUUCUUCGCAGCAUUUUGCUUGUUCGUCGCCGACAUCUUCUUACUCUUUUCCGAUGUCUUGUGGGCCACAAAUGCGGGCCAGUGAUCUUUGAUCUUCUCAUAUUUGCUGAUGAAUUCUGGUGUCUUUUUUUUUUGACAAAAUGGUUCAACUCUUUCCUCCACCUCCUGAAUAGGGUUGCCAUCUUCUUAAGAGUACAAGACUUGAUUAAUUGCUCUUUAACUGGCUUCUCCGGAUCCUCCUCUGGCGGUAGGGUGAAAUUUGCCUUCAGCUGAGUCCAAAGAUCUUCUUUCUGCAUAUCAUUGACAUAAGACACCUCAGGGUCGUUCUUAGGCUUAUACCAUUGGUGGAUGCUGAUCGGGAUCUUGUCCCUAACAAGAACCCCGCACUGAGCAGAAAAUGCGUUCUUUGUCCGGAUGGGUUAUGUGGUAGCUAUGUUAAUUGAUGCAUUCAUUCUUCAGGACUCGUCUCCUUACCGAAGUUGUGCUCGAUCCGGAGGGCUAGAAAUUAAAAGGAAGAAAGACGAGAGUAAUUAAUAUGUGUACAUAUACCAAAACAAUGAAUGCAUCAAUUAACUAGUCAGCACAGGCUUAACUAAUAUAUAUAUACUUGGCCGAACUCGGUUCGGUCACCGGAGCAGCCAGCACGGUCUCCUUCUUGUACCUCCAUUGGGUCAUCACCGGAGCCAUCAUGAACAUAGCCCUCUUCUUGUACCGGAAUUAAUGGGCCGGAGCCAUCAUGAACAUAGCCCUCUUCUUCACCCAGUCCUUCCUCACCAACGACGUCGAUGAAAAAUGACGCAACAACAUCAGUUCCUUCUGCGAUCAUCUCCCCCAACAUCGCUUCUGUUGCUUCGUCUCGGUAGUGCUCCAUAGUUUCUGCAAAUAUUUACAACAUGUCAAUUAUUAUUCAAAAACAUGGUACAGAUGGAUAUAUAUUAGUGGCAAACGUAGAAUUAGCUAGCUAAUCACAAUAAGGAAUCAUGUUAGUGGCCUCGACGCUACUUCUCUAGGGUUUGGGAUCGCCUCGACACAACGCUUCAAGGGUUUGGGGUGGCCUUGACGACAACGCACUUUUAACUUGGUAAAUUUGGGUGGCCUCGAGAGUUUUGGUCGAGCGAGAGGGCCGAGGGGGGUGCUGCCGUUGUAUAGGUUAUCACGGUCGAGAGGGGGUAUAUAUAUAGACCGCCCUUCAUGUCGAAGUUAUCUCGAAGGGGCGGCGAGGGCGAAGACGAGCAGCAUGACGGCGACAGACCCGAUAAAACAUAAGAAAACGAAGAAGAGAUAAAAAGAGGAGAAGAAGAAAGGAAUAGAGGAGAAGAUCGAAGAAAAAAAAGAAGAAAAAAAGAGGAGAAGAAGAAAGGAAUAGAGGAGAAGAAGAAAAAAAUAGAAUUCUAAUUUUUUCUUCUUCUCCUCUAUUCCUUUCUUCUUCUCCUCUUCCUUUUCUUCUUUUUUGUUCUUCUUAUUUAUUUCUCCUCUAUUCCUUUCUUUCUUCUUCUCCUCUUAUUUUUCUUCUUCUCCCUCGAGAAAGGAAAAUAAUUGAGGAAAAGGAAGAAAAGAGGAAGAAGGAAGAGAAGGAAGAAGAAGAAGAAAGGAAUAGAGGACAAGAAGAAAAAAUAGAAAAAAAUCUAUUUUUUCUUCUUCUCCUCUUCUUUUUCUUCUUUUUUCUUCUUCUUAUUUAUUUCUCCUCUUCUUUUCCUCUCCUCUUCUUCUCUUUUCUUCCUCUUCUUAUUUUCCUUUUUCCUCUCAUUCUUUUUCUUCUUCUUCUUUCUUCUUCCUUCUUCCUCUUUUCUUCCUUUUCCUUAUUUUACUUUUUCCUCUACACUAACCUAAUUAAAAUGCACUAACCUAAAAUCGAUAUCUACUAACAACCUAAAUAAAAAUUAAUACAUAUAUGAAAAAACAUAUAUAAACAAAAAAAUGCUAUGAACAUUAUAUUCAUACAUAUAUAUAGCCACAUCCAUUCAUCAUAUAGCUACCACAUACAUAUAUACAUUAAUUAUAUAUAUGAAAAAAAAUGCAAUGAACAAAAAAAUACACAUGUAUGUAUGAAAAAAAGCACUGAACACAUAGCCUCGACGGCGGCGGCGCACAACGGGGGCGGCCGGCGAGGGCGACGGCGGCGGCGGCGACGACCACGUACGGCGNNNNNNNNNNNNNNNNNNNNNNNNNNNNNNNNNNNNNNNNNNNNNNNNNNNNNNNNNNNNNNNNNNNNNNNNNNNNNNNNNNNNNNNNNNNNNNNNNNNNNNNNNNNNNNNNNNNNNNNNNNNNNNNNNNNNNNNNNNNNNNNNNNNNNNNNNNNNNNNNNNNNNNNNNNNNNNNNNNNNNNNNNNNNNNNNNNNNNNNNNNNNNNNNNNNNNNNNNNNNNNNNNNNNNNNNNNNNNNNNNNNNNNNNNNNNNNNNNNNNNNNNNNNNNNNNNNNNNNNNNNNNNNNNNNNNNNNNNNNNNNNNNNNNNNNNNNNNNNNNNNNNNNNNNNNNNNNNNNNNNNNNNNNNNNNNNNNNNNNNNNNNNNNNNNNNNNNNNNNNNNNNNNNNNNNNNNNNNNNNNNNNNNNNNNNNNNNNNNNNNNNNNNNNNNNNNNNNNNNNNNNNNNNNNNNNNNNNNNNNNNNNNNNNNNNNNNNNNNNNNNNNNNNNNNNNNNNNNNNNNNGGGCGGCGUCAGGGGCGCGCGGACGGAAGCGGGGCGGCGCGCGAACGGCGUCUGGGCGGCAGGCGCCGUCGGGGCAGCGGACGGCGUCGAUCUGGGCAGCCUGGCGGUGUCGAUGAGCUCGGCGUCGUCGGGCGGCAACUGGCGAUGUGUUCGUCAAAUUUUCCUAAGUGUUGUAUAUAUAGCAAGGGCAUUGGUCCCUGUCCGUGACUCCAACCGGGACUAAUGCCCCCGUUAGUCCCGGUUGGUACCACCAACCGGGACCAAAGGCCUCUUUUCAGCAGCCCAACGGGCGGGAAGCGGCGACCUUUGGUCCCGGUUGGUGGCACCAACCGGGACUAAAGGGUGGGCAUUGGUACGGUUGGUGCCACGAACCGGUACCAAAGGACCCUGUGCUGCCAGCGUCGGGGCCAAAGUUUAGUCCCACCUCGCUAGUUGAGAGGGGCGCGCAGUGGUUUAUAAGCUCCACUGCUGCACCCCUCUCGAACUCCUCUCCUAGGCUUGCGGGCCUAUUUGCUACUGCUUUGCCUGAUGGGCCUGCUGGGCCUACUGCGGGCCUGAAUCCUGGCCUAUGGUAGGGUUUCUAGUCGUAUUCAGGCCAUGGGGGCCCAGUAGGAGGCAUUUUUUUGUUUUCUUUCUUGCUUUAUUUAUUUUAUUUUGUUUCUACUUACAACAAAAUACUUAUUGUUGCUAUUUUUAAUUAUUUUCUAGUUUUUUUGUUUUGUUUUCUGCAUUAUUUAUUUUCUUUUGUUUUUUGCUUUAUUUUUUAAUUCUUUUUGCUUUUAGUUUUGGAAAAAUUAUAAACUUUCUGUUAGUGCCAUUANNNNNNNNNNNNNNNNNNNNNNNNNNNNNNNNNNNNNNNNNNNNNNNNNNNNNNNNNNNNNNNNNNNNNNNNNNNNNNNNNNNNNNNNNNNNNNNNNNNNNNNNNNNNNNNNNNNNNNNNNNNNNNNNNNNNNNNNNNNNNNNNNNNNNNNNNNNNNNNNNNNNNNNNNNNNNNNNNNNNNNNNNNNNNNNNNNNNNNNNNNNNNNNNNNNNNNNNNNNNNNNNNNNNNNNNNNNNNNNNNNNNNNNNNNNNNNNNNNNNNNNNNNNNNNNNNNNNNNNNNNNNNNNNNNNNNNNNNNNNNNNNNNNNNNNNNNNNNNNNNNNNNNNNNNNNNNNNNNNNNNUUUUGUUUGUACUUACAACAAAAUACUUAUUGUUGCUAUUUUUAAUUGUUUUUUGUUUUGUUUUCUACAUUAUUUAUUUUCUUUUGUUUUUUGCUGUAUUUUUUAAUUCUUUUUGCUUUUAGUUUUAGAAAAAUUAUAAACUUUCUGUUAGUGCCAUUAGUUUUCAAAUUUGAAAACACUUUUUUUGUUUUUUUGUUUUCUUUCUUGCUUUAUUUAUUUUAUUUUGUUUCUACUUACAACAAAAUACUUAUUGUUGCUAUUUUUAUUUAUUACGAGGGCCGAACCAUAAGACAUUAAAGCAUUUCAAAUGAACUCUGAAAAAGUUGAAAGUUGGCAUGGUAUCAUAAAUUCACCCACACAUAGCAUGUGCAUGUACAAAACGGACAAUGGUAUCAUACUCGUGUGUUACAAAGUUGGCAUGGUAUCAUCAUAAUAGUUGCGGGAGGAAGUCAUCACUUUUUCUUCGCUUGUGUCAUUUGCUUAUUGCGCCGUAACCAUGGAUAAUCUUCAUCGCUUAUGAGGAUGUUGGGGUCAGCCUCGACUUUGAAGGGAGGAAUUUCAUGAAACUUUUCAUAAUCUUCAGAUAUGUCUAUCUUGCCCUCCACUCCCACGAUGUCCCUUUUUCCUGAAAGAACUAUGUGGCGCUUUGGCUCAUCGUAUGAUGUAUUCGCUUCCUUAUCUUUUCUUUUUCUCGGUCUGGUAGACAUGUCCUUCACAUAGAUAACCUGUGCCACAUCAUUGGCUAGGACGAACGGUUCGUCAGUGUACCCAAGAUUUUUCAGAUCCACUGUUGUCAUUCCGUACUGUGGGUCUACCUGUACCCCGCCUCCUGACAGAUUGACCCAUUUGCACUUAAACAAAGGGACCUUAAAAUCAUGUCCGUAGUCAAGUUCCUAUAUGUCCACUAUGUAACCAUAAUAUGUGUCCUUUCCCCUCUCGGUUGUUGCAUCAAAGCGGACACCGCUGUUUUGGUUGGUGCUCUUUUGAUCUUGGUCAAUCGUGUAAAAUGUAUUCCCAUUUAUCUCGUAUCCUUUCCAAAUCGUAACAGUCGAAGAUGGUCCCCUGGACAACAAGUACAGCUCAUCACAAACAGUGUUGUCACCUCUGAGACGUGCUUCCAACCAACUGCUGAAAGUCCUGAUGUGUUCACAUGUAAUCCAGUCGUCGCACUGCUCCGGGUGUUUGGAGCGCAGACUGUUCUUGUGUUCAUCGACAUACGGGGUCAUCAAGGUAGAGUUCUGUAGAACUGUGUAGCGUGCUUGAGACCAAGAAUAUCCGUCCCUGCAUAUUAUUGAGUCCCUUCCAAGCGUGCCUUUUCCAGUCAAUCUCCCCUCAUACCGCGAUUGAGGGAGACCUAUCUUCUUAAGGCCAGGAAUGAAGUCAACACAAAACCCGAUGACAUCCUCUGUUUGAUGGCCCAUGGAGAUGCUUCCUUUUGGCCUAGCGCGGUUACGGACAUAUUUCUUAGGACUCCCAUGAACCUCUCAAAGGGGUACAUAUUGUGUAGAAAUACAGGGCCCAGAAUGACAAUCUCGUCAACUAGAUGAACUAGGAGGUGUGUCAUGAUAUUGAAGAAGGAUGGUGGGAACACCAGCUCGAAACUGACAAGACAUUGCACCACAUCACUCCUUAGCCUUGGUAUGAUUUCUGGAUCGAUCACCUUUUGAGAGAUUGCAUUGAGGAAUGCACAUAGCUUCACAAUGGCUAAUUGGACGUUUUCUGGUAGAAGCCCCCUCAAUGCAACCGGAAGCAGUUGCGUCAUAAUCAUGUGGCAGUCAUGAGACUUUAGGUUCUGAAACUUUUUCUCUGACAUAUUUAUUAGUCCUUUUAUAUUCGACGAGAAGCCAGUCGGAACCUUCAUACUAAGCAGGCAUUCAAAGAAGAUUUCCUUCUCUUCUUUGGUAAGAGCAUAGCUGGCAGGACCUUCAUACUGCUUUGGAGGCAUGUCGUCUUUUUCGUGCGAACGUUGCAGGUCCUCCCGUGCCUCAGCUGUAUCUUUUGUCUUCCCAUACACGCCCAAGAAGCCUAGCAGGUUCACGCAAAGGUUCUUCGUCACGUGCAUCACGUCAAUCGAAGAGCGGACCUCUAGGUAUUUCCAGUAGGGUAGGUCCCAAAAUAUAGAUUUCUUCUUCCACAUGGGUGCGUGUCCCCCAGUGUCACUCGGAACAGCUAGUCCGCCGGGACCCUUUCCAAAGAUUACGUGUAAAUCAUUGACUAUAGCAAGUACGUGAUCACCGGUACGCAUGGCGGGCUUCCUCCGGUGAUCUGCCUCGCCUUUGAAAUGCUUGCCUUUCUUUCGACAUUGAUGGUUGGUCGGAAGAAAUCGACGAUGGCCCAGGUACACAUUCUUCCUGCAGCUUCCCAGGUAUAUACUAUCGGUGUCAAGUAAACAGUGCGUGCAUGCGUGGUAUCCCUUGUUUGUCUAUCCUGAAAGGUUACUGAGAGCGGGCCAAUCAUUGAUGGUCACGAACAACAACGCCUUUAGGUGAAAUUCCUCCUGUUUGUGCUCAUCCCACGUACGUACACCAUUUCCAUUCCACAGCUGUAAAAGUUCUUCAACUAAUGGCCUUAGGUACACAUCAAUGUCGUUGCCGGGUUGCUUAGGGCCUUGGAUGAGAACUGGCAUCAUAAUGAACUUCCGCUUCAUGCACAUCCAAGGAGGAAGGUUAUACAUACAUAGAGUCACGGGCCAGGUGUUGUGAUUGCUGCUCUGCUCCUCGAAAGGAUUAAUGCCAUCCGCACUUAAAGCAAACCAUACGUUCCUUGGGUCACUUGCAAACUCAUCCCAGUACUUUCUCUCGAUUUUUCUCCACCGUGACCCGUCAGCGGGUGCUCUCAACUUCAUGUCUUUCUUGCGGUCCUCACUGUGCCAUCGCAUCAACUUGGCAUGCUCUCUGUUUCUGAACAGAUGUUUCAACCAUGGUAUUAUAGGAGCAUACCACAUCACCUUCGCAGGAGCCCUCUUCCUGGGGGGCUCGCCGUCAACAUCACCAGGGUCAUCUCGUCUGAUCUUAUACCAUAAUGCACCGCAUACUGGGCAUGCGUUCAGAUCCAUGUACGCACCGCGGUAGAGGAUGCAGUCAUUAGGGCAUGCAUGUAUCAUCUGCACCUCCAAUCCUAGAGGGCAUACGACCUUCUUUGUUGCGUAUGUACUGUCGGGCAAUUCGUUAUCCUUUGGAAGCUUCUUCUUCAAUAUUUUCAGUAGCUUCUCAAAUCCUUUGCCAGGCACAGCAUUCUCUGCCUUCCACUGCAGCAAUUCCAGUACGGUAUCGAGUUUUGUGUUGCCAUCUUCGCAAUUGGGGUACAACCCUUUUUUGUGGUCCUCUAACAUGCGAUCAAACUUCAGCUUCUCCUUUUGACUUUUGCAUUGCGUCCUUGCAUCGACAAUGACCCGGCGGAGAUCAUCAUCAUCGGGCACAUCGUCUGGUUCCUCUUGAUCUUCAACAGCUUCGCCUAUUGCAGCAUCAUCGUGCACAUCGUCUGGUUCCUCUUGAUCUUCAGUAGCAUCACCGUAUUCAGGGGGCACAUAGUUGUCAUCGUACUUUUCUUCUUCGCCGUCUUCCAUCAUAACCCCUAUUUCUCCGUGCCUCGUCCAAACAUUAUAGUGUGGCAUGAAACCCUUGUAAAGCAGGUGGGAAUGAAUGAUUUUCCGGUCGGAGUAAGACUUCGUAUUCCCACAUAUAGGGCAUGGACAACACAUAAAACCAUUCCGCUUGUUUGCCUCAGCCACUUCGAGAAAUUCAUGCACGCCCUUAAUGUACUCGGAGGUGUGUCUUGAACCGUAUAUCCAUUGCCGGUUCAUCUGCAUGCAUUAUAUAUAAUUAAGUGUGUCAAAAAUUAUUAUAGAACAUCAUGAAUAGAUAAUUAAGUGACCAAAUUAAUAGAAGUUCAUCAUCACAUUAAAACCAAAGUACAUACAUAGUUCUCAUCUAACAACAUAAAGCUCUGCAGAGCAUCUAAUCUAAAUAAACCAUACAUUGAAACUAUGUAAAACAUUUCAAUGCGAAAACAAAUGCGAUCAUAAUCGCAACCAAUGUAACAACUGAUCCAACGGCAUAAUGAUACCAAGCCUCGGUAUGAAUGGCAUAUUUUCUAAUCUUUCUAAUCUUCAAGUGCAUUGCAUCCAUCUUGAUCUUGUGAUCAUCCACGACAUCCGCAACAUGCAACUCCAAUAUCAUCUUCUCCUCCUCAAUUUUUCUAAUUUUCUCCUUCAAGAAAUUGUUUUCUUCUUCAACUAAAUUUAACCUCUCGACAAUAGGGUCGGUUCGAAUUUCCGGUUCAACAACCUCCUAGAUAAAUAAAAUCUAUGUCACGUUGGUCGGCAUAAUUGUCAUAAACAAUAGAUGAAACAAUAGUUAUGAAAAGAUAAUAUAUACCACAUCCGAAUCAUAGACAGGACGAGGACCGACGGGGGCGGAUACCAAAACCAUCGCACUAUAUAAGAUGCAAUAAUAAAAGUAAGAAAAUUAUACAAGUAUCUAUAUAAACAUACAAGUAAGAAUAUUUUUUUCCUUUCAGAAAGAAGAUAAGAACAAGAGGCUCACCACGGUGGUGUCGGCGACGAGAUCGGCGCGGGCGAUCGACGGCGGUGAAGACGGGGACAGGACGUGACAGACCGCUAAACCUAGACAAAUAUUGAGGAAAAUGGAGCUUGGAGGUCAAGCUUGGAGAGGAGAAAGCUUAAGUAGUGUGCCUCGGGCAUUCCAUCGAACACCUCGUGUGCAUAGGAGGUGAGCUAGAGCACCACAAAGCUCUCUCCUCGCCGGCCACGAAAAAUAGAGCAAUGAGAGUGCUCUGCUCACGGGCGAGGGGUAUAUAUAGGCAAUUAAUUGGUCCCGGUUCGUGACUUGAACCGGGACUAAAGGGAAGCCUUUGGUCCCGGUUCAGGCCACCAACCGGGACCAAUGGUGGUGGGCCAAGACCAAGGCACAUUGGUCCCGGUUCGUCCCUCCAACCGGGACCAAAAGGUCCAGACGAACCGGGACCAAUGGCCCACGUGGCCCGGCCGGCCCCCGGGGCUCACGAGUCCAAUGCCCCCAUUGGUCCCGGUUCUGGAUUGAACCGGGACUAAUGGGCUGACCCGGCCUGGACCAUUGCCCCCUUUUCUACUAGUGCUAUGUGGUGAGGUUAUAUUACACAUGGUCACAUCUAGCACGCCAACGCCAUAGCACUUCAAUGGUGACGAACUGCACAAUGAUGAUGAAGUUCUUCACUGCAAGGCGUGGCGCCGGCUUGGCAACUGUCAUGUUGCCUAUUUUAACCACACCAACUCUGUGCUUUCGCACGUAGUUGGCGUAAGCUUCUUCCGUCACAUGCCUUGUCUUGAACCCUCUAUGGCUACUGUUAUUGUAAGAUGCCACUUGUUCACUGCAAGCUUCCCAUGAACUGUAAACCCCUGGUGCCCUCCCGAGUCCCUACGAACACCGCAUAUCAUUUGUCCUAGCAGUCCACAAGAGUAGCAGUUGAAGUAGCAAGAAAAAGAACAAUCAAGAAGCAAGCAAUGAAGUAGAAGUAGUAAGCAUGCAUGAUCAUAUGACAUAGCAAGUUCUAACCUAGCACUACUAUGGUGUCAUCCUACCGUCACCACAUCCAAAAGAGGGUGUCAUCCUACCACCGCAAGUUCAUGAUCACCCUGAGGAUCACCGUGAGGGGUUAGUAUAUACCACCUCACCAAAAUAUACAGACCAUCAGAUUGUUUUCAAGCCCUAGAUACACAAAAUAUACAGGCCAUCGCCGUCGAGAAUUAUGCAUGUGGCACCAGAAGCAAGCUCUAGUACUAGUUCUUGCCCAGCUAGCUCCUGGGCCACAACACCCUGUGGGCGUCUGCCAUGGCAACAAACCCAACACCCUGGGCCUUGUUGUCCAGGAGGUGGCUGAAAGCUGCCAUGAGAGCCUCGUCGCUGAAGCAACCUUGAUCCAUGGCGGCGAUGUAUAGGCAGGGUGGACGUUGAUGGCCUUUCUCUCGCUAAUGGCGGUUGCCACCUCCUUCACUGUCUCAGUCAUGCUGCUGAAGACAUUGAUCUCCUCCUCCAUCAGGUUGCCCCUCUUCCUCGUGCUAUCGAGCACACAGGGACAUGCUCAAAUGGCUUGUUAGGGCCAUCAAGGACUGCCUCUACAUCCGGAUUGCCUGGGAACACCGGCAUGUGAGAACCGAGAGGCCACCGAAGCCCAUGGCAUGCUUGCCAGUUGCCAUGCCGAAGGAAAAGAUGUCCUGCAUCUGGUUGUGGUUCUACAUGGGUGUGUUGAGGAACUCAGCAUCCUUGGUGUGGUCCUAAGAUAGAAGCAGAAGGGUUGUUAGUUGCUACAAGGUAAUGACAAUCUGCAAAACAAGAGGAUAGUGAGAUAAACGCGGCAUGGUUGGUGUAGUGCUCUGCCUCUAGAAUAUAUUUGGCCAUGGGCCGGGCCGGGCCGGGCUUGAAAAAUCCCACGGCAGAAAACUGAGGCCCAGGCCCUCCCAAGCCCAAUCACUGGGCCUACUUUUCAAGCCCAAGCCCGGCCCAUCUGGUAAAAAUCCCUAAAAAUCCCUUAGGGCUUAGGGCCGUGGGCCGGGCCUCUUCCUUAAAAUGACAAUAUGCCAAGCCCAAGCCCGUCCAGGCCCUACUGAUGGGCUCAAAACUCAGGCCCAAGCCCGGCCCAUGGGCAAGCCCAUCGGGCCUAGGCCCUGGAUUUUAGGGCCGGGCCUGGGUAGGCCGACAGGGCCGGGCCUGAGAUGGCCAGGACUACUCCAGAACGAUAGAGCAAGUGCUCUGAUCCUAGGAGGCGCCGCUAAGGUCUCUGAGCUUGGAUACUUGGAUCCAUCGAGCUCUCCGCUUCCUCAGGUGGUUGUACACCUGGGUGGCGGUCACCUCCGGGCCACAUAACUCAAAUACCUACUUCGCAACGGUGUUCAAGUGCACCUCCUUGAAGCCCUUGUCAGUCCUAACCCACUAGAGAUGAGCGCGCACAUCUUGUUCAGCACGAACAUGGACAUGAACGGUUGCCACUUCAUGUUGUUCCCCCUACCAUCCUUCUUGGCCUUCAGUGCAGCGGCAGCAAAUUGGCUCAACAAGCACAAUAGGCACAAAGCAAGAAGGUGAAACCUCAAACACCUCUGAAUCAGCAGGCAUGUUCUCAUCGACGAGGGUCUGCGAGUCCUCGACAUAGGAGGCCACAAACUGGUUGUCUGACAGUAGAUAUAAUGCAAAACCAAAAUAAGAAUAGGUUUACUACAGUACUUAUAGUAGUGGUUUGUUUUAUUACACUAACAGAUCUCAUGAAGGUUUUGUUUGAGUUUUGCGUGAUUGAAGUUUUGAAGUUUUGGGUGAUCUUACGAUGGAUGAAGGAAUAAGGAUUAGCAAAAGGCUAAGCUUGGGGAUGCCCGAGGCACCCCAAGACAAUAUUCAAGAAGUAGCAAGCAACUAAGCUUGGGGAUGCCCCGAGUGGCAUCCCCGCUUUCUUCUAACAACCAUCGGUAUUUUACUUGAAGCUAUAUUUUUAUUCGUCACAUAAUAUGAGUUUUGCUUGGAGCGUCUUGUAUGAUAUGAGUCUUUGCUUGUUUUGCUUUGUGUUCUAAGUAUUGAAUCCUUGCUGGACACACCUUUUUGAGAGAGCCAAAAAUUAUUCUAUGCUUGCUCCUAUGCUUCACUUAAAUUUUUAGAGCCAUGGAUUUGCUCUAGUGCUUCACUUCUAUCUUUUUGAGCACGGUGUGCUUUGUUAUUUUUGAAGAAAUGCUCUCAUGCUUCACUUGGAUUUAUUUGGGAGUUAGUAAAAUUUGAAGAAAUUCUCUCUUGUUUCACUUAGAUUAUUUUGAGAGAAAGAAAAAAAAUAUGCUCAUGAUCUUCAAUUAUAUCUGUUUGAGCUUAUCAAAAGCAACAUAUAAAAAUAGUCCCAAAGUGAUAGAUAUCCAAGGAAGAUAUAAUAAAAACUUUCAUCAAGAUCAUUGGAUAAAAUACACAUGAUUCUUAGUAAUGGUUUUGAGAUAUGACGAUAUGAUAUGUGAGUUAUGUUGAUGAGUAAUUGUGCUUUAGUAAGAAUAUAGAUGUUAAGGUUUGUGAUUCCCUUUGCAAGCACGAAAGUCAAUAGUUAUGCAAUGAAAUGUGUAUCCUACUUAUGGUGCAUUAUUCAGUGUUACUUAUGCUUAAUGCUUGCGUACGAGAUUUUUUGCUUUUUGGUUGGUCGCUUCUCAAUAUUUUUUCUAGCCUUCAUUUUGCACUAAGUAUGAUCACUACUUGUGCAUCCAGAAUCCUUUAAACCAGUUUUGCGUUAUGAGUCCACUAUAGCUACCUAUAUGCGAAAUUUCCAUGCCGUUCUAAGAAAAUUUGCAUGUGCCUUCUCUAAUUUUCAAAAUAUUUCUUUUGUGUGCUCUACCGCUCGCGAGGCGGUGAAGGGUGACCAAUAUUUUCCAUGCUAGAUAUGUUAUUCUCACGAUGAGUGUUUAUUCACUUGUCAUUGCACGAGAGUACAGCAAAGAUAUUAGGGAUGCCCUGUAUCGAAAUGAAUAAUGAAUUUACUUUGUGUUGUCAAAUAAUAAAUUCCUUGGAAAGUGUUGGUAUGGAGGGCAACCGUGGAUUCGGCUAGCCAUGGAAAGUGAAAGUAAUGGUGUAAAAAGGAAUAAACUUUAUUUUCUAUUUGGGAACUGCCUAUGAUGUAUCUAGCAUGAAAAGUAUUGCGAUCUCUAAGUCGUUUUCGUUGGUGGGAAAAGUAUGCCUCUCAAAAAUAUUUUUUAUCUCUCAAUUUAAGCUUUGAGCUCUGGCACCUUUACAAAUCCCUACUUCCCUCCGCGAAGGGCCUUUCUUUUACUUAUGCAAUUUUUAUUUUGAAUUUGAUUCUCCAUCUUCUCUUAUAAAGCACCAACUAAGGGGCACUAUGAUCGUAUUUGAGCAUUGGGUGUAGCUACUAUUCGAGUGUGUUUCAUGAUUGGAUCAAUGAUUGAGCAUAAUGGGCUAGGGAUAACUCGCUUUAAUGUUGAUAUUUUGAAAGACAUGGUUUCUUGUUGGUAUGCUUGAGUAUUAAAGUCUUCAUCUCAAAACUAGACUAUUGCUUUGAAUCAGAUAAAAGUCCAUAUGUCAAUGCUAUAAAGAAAAGAAAUGUGAUGAACAUGUUAGGAAGCAUUCCACAUCAAAAAUUCUGUUUUUAUCAUUUACCUACUCGAGGACGAGUAGGAAUUAAGCUUGGGGAUGUUGAUACGUCUCCAAUGUAUCUAUAAUUUUUUUAUUGUUCCAUGUUGUUAUAUUAUCAUUCUUGGAUGUUUUACACUCAUUUUAUAGUCAUUUUAUAUCAUUUUUGGUACUAACCUAUUGACAUAGUGCCCAGUGCCAGUUGUUGUUUUCUGCAUGUUUUUUACAUCCCAGGAAAUCAAUAUCAAACUGAAUCCAAACGCAGUGAAACUUCUUCAGGAUUUUUUUUGGGCUAGAAGACAUCCAGUGGGCCAAGGUUGCACCUGGGGGUGCCUCAAGGAGAUCAGCACCCACCGGGGCUCGCCAGGAGGCUCAGGCGCGCCCUGGUGGGUUGGGCCAACCUCGGGUGCCCCCUGAACCGCCUUUUUGCUCUAUAAAUACCCCAAUAUUCCAGAAACUCUAGGGGAGUCGACAAAAAUCAAUUCCAGCCGUCACAAAGUCCAGAACCACCAGAUCCAAUCUAGACACCAUCACGGAGGGGUUCACCACUUCCACUGUUGCCUUUCCGAUGAUGCGUGAGUAGUCCUUUGUAGACCUACGGGUCCGUAGUUAGUAGCUAGAUGGCUUCCUCUCUCUCUCUCUCUCUUGAUUAUCAAUACAAUGGUCUCUUGGAUAUCCAUAUGACGUAAGUCUUUUUGCGGUGUGUUUGUUGGGAUCCGAUGAACUUUGAGUUUAAAUCAGAUCUAUGAUCUUAUCCAUGAAAGUUAUUUGAGUCUUCUUUGAUCUCUUAUAUGCAUGAUUGCUUAUAGCCUCGUAUUUCUUCUCCGAUAUUUGGGUUUUGUUUGGCCAACUUGAUCUAUUUAUCUUGCAAUGGGAAGAGGUGCUUUGUGAUGGGUUCGAUCUUACGGUGCUUGAUCCCAGUGACAGAAGGGGAAAUGACAUGUAUAUAUCGUUGCUAUUAAGGAUAACAAGAUGGGGUCUAAUUCUACAUAAAUAGAUAUUGUCUACAUCAUGUCAUCGUUCUUAUUGCAUUAUUCUGUUUUUCCAUGAACCUAAUACACUAGAUGCAUGCCGGAUAGCGGUCGAUGUGUGGAGCAAUAGUAGUAGAUGCAGGCAGGAGUCGGUCUACUAAUCUUGGACGUGAUGCCUAUAUAAUGAUCAUUGCCUGGAUAUCGUCAUGAUUAUUCGAAGUUCUAUCAAUUGCCAAACAGUAAUUGUUUUCCCACCGUUUGCUAUUUUUUUCUCGAGAGAAGCCACUAGUGAAACCUACGGCCCCCGGGUCUCUUUUCAUCAUAUUUUCCUUUGCGAUCUAUUUUCCUUCGCAUUUAUUUUCAGAUCUGUUAAAUCAAAAACACAAAAAUACCUUGCUGCAAUUUAUUUAUUCCGCGAUCUGUUUAUCCUAUCUACCACUUUUAUCUCAUGUUAUUUGCCUAUCUUGGGGCGUCGUACCCGAAAGGGAUUGACAACCCUUUUAAUAUGUCGGGUUGCGAGUAUUUGUUAUUUGUGUGAAGGUGUUCUUUACGUGGUGUGAAGAGGUUCUCCUACUGGUUCGAUAACCUUGGUCUCAUCACUGAGGGGAAUACCUACCGUCGCUAUACUGCAUCAUCCCUUCCUCUUUGGGGAAAUACCAACGUAGUUCUAGCAGACAUCAAUCUCCCUCUAGGUUGAGACCAUUUCCAAAUGAAGUUUCUCCCUCCACAUAGAUUGUGGAGUUCAUUUUUGCAGAAAUUAUUUUUUAAUGGUCUCAUGAAUUCCCACAAAAUCAAGCUUUCUACUACCAAUAAUGUCUCUAAUAAAGUUUCUCUUGGUAUCAGGUCCAAUCCCCCUCACAUUCCAGAACAUGCCUAUCAUGGUAGCAACCAAGAUUUUUAGAAAUUACUUUAUUUUUUCCUUCUAUUAAGUCCUCCUAUUUUAACAGGUGACUUCCCAUAGGAUAAUCCUAGUGAGUCAGAGCUGCUUUUUCCCACUAGUAAAUAUGUUUUUGAGAUGAGAAAAAUAAUCCAUCUCCAAAGCAGAAUCAGAGUGAUCAUCAUCAGAACAUAGUUCUUUAAUAUCAAUAUCUCCAGUAUCAAUCAGCUCUAAGUUGUUAUCAUUAUUGGAAUCUCCUUUUUUGUUAAGUUUUUGAUUAUAAAAGUCUUGUCUACUCUGCUCCAUAUUUCUAAUAAUUUCUAUAUUCUGAUCCAGCAUCUAAAUAGAGCAUCGUAAAUCAAUCCUUACCUUGUCAGCCAUAAACAUCAAAGAAGUAUUAUCAUGAAGAAUUUCAGAAGAUUUACCAUAGUUAUCUUUAGCAGCAGCCCUUUCUUUAGCUAGAUCUUCAAUUUUUGCAUCUUGUUUGUCCACCAAUCUGUCACACCUCCUCAAGUUAUCUUCUGAAGUGUUAUCAGUCUCUUUUUCUUCACCUUCUCCCCCACUUUUCAUCCAAGCUUUGUGCCAAAGGGGACAAACUCCUGACUAGCAUUGUAAUCAACUGGUUCCACAUAAUUGUUAACACCCUCUUCCUGUUUAUUGCUUUCAUCGUUUUUAAUCUCAUCAUCAGUGAUCUCCUCCAAUUCUCUUUCUCUAGCUUCCCAGAAUUUAAUCUUGCUCACACAGGUGUCAAUGAUUGCUUGUUGCUUGUUCACCACAUCUAGCAAGUGUUUCCUUUCUUUUUCAAGAUCAGCAAUUUUGACCUCCUCUUUUGCUUUCAGGGCCUUUUGCCUAGCUCUUUCCUCCUACAGCUUGAAAAAAACUUUUCCUAGAUCAGCUUCCACUUUUUACCUGGCUUCCAUCUCUCUAAUGUGAUCCCUCCGGACAGCUUUCAAUUCUUCAUUAGUUUCCUUCAUCUCCUCAUAUUGACUUAGGCUCAUACUACCCAAACUGAUCAUCUCCUUUGUGCCUUCCACCUGAUAAUGAGACCAUUUGUGUCUUUUCCUCAUCUCCUCUUCCUGAUUACCCAACUCAACAUCUUCCAUGCCAUGUUUUUUCUGUUCACCAUACCAUCCAACUUCAACCACCAUCUGUAAAUCUGGUCUUACUCUAUAAAUCAUCAAGUUUUUGCCUGUGAUUUCUGUGUAAGCUGGAAUAUUCUCAUGAUCUCUGACUCCAACUUUAGCUCUGACCUCAUCUUGUGUGAUUGUGUUCAUAUCAAUUUCCAACACUGGUCCACUUCACUCAUUCCAAAAAAAGUCUGAAACAUUCAGGCACCUUAUCAAACUUGACCCACACAGUAUGUAACUUGCCAAUGGCAUGUGUGUCAAAACCCCAAUUACUAACAUUGAUAAUGGCCCCUAUGCCCAACAGAUUGAAGUCAUUGCACUGUAUCAGCUCCAUCAAUCUCCCUUUGCAUGGAAACCUCACCAGAAAAGUGUUAUCAAUUUGCCUCCUGCACCUCCACUGCCAAUUCCAAUUAAACAUAUAAUGCAUUCUGUCUAUCAACUGAGUCUCAUUCACUUCUCCUGACACCACUGUCACUAGUGCCAUGGGGUUGGGAUUUUCAACAUCCAGCACCUCCUUAGAACUUUGAACAAGAAGAACCCCAAGCCCUUUUGCAGCAUAACCUACAAAUUUUGGAACUGGCUUCAUCUGCUUCAACCAAUUACAAUCAUCAGUAGUAUGAUUAUUUUUUCCACAAAUCACACAGUGCCCCGGCAUACAAUCCUUGGUAGCAUGUCCAGGGUUCUUGGAUUUGUUGCACAGAUAGGUAGCAUUUCCACCCAUAGCAUUUCUCCCACCAUCUGUAUUAUUUCUUGGAUAUGAACUAUCUUUGUACUGUCUACUUCUCUGAAAACCAUCCUCUUUGUUACCAGUGUUGUUUUCAAACCAUCUCAUCCCUGCAGCUAUGUUUACCUCUCCUCUAGCAUGGGGCUCCUCCUUUCUUUGUUGAAACUCUCUGUCCAGCCUGAUCUGAGAACUGCUUUCCUCACCUCUCAUCUUCCCAUUCCCCCCAAGGACAGCAGAAUUCUGAGCAAGCUGGGCCAAAAGGUUGUUGAGCCAUACAUGUUGCUGCGUCAGAUAGGGAUGGCAAUGGGUAGGGUAUGGGCGGGUAUGACCUUCUUCUGCCCAAACCCAUACCCACAGAAACCUUCUAUACCCACCUGUUUCAGUACCCAUGGGCAUAAAUUGAUACCCAUGCCCAUACCCAUCGGGUAUCCUAUACCCAAUGGGUAUCCAAUGGGUACAAUCUAUGGUAUUUAAAAUUUUAAAAAGUAGAGAAAUGAGUCUAAAAUUCAAGUGACGAUGGGUGAGUAAUAUAGCAUCGAUGUGGCCUCCUCCGGUGAGUGGCAUCUUGGAUAAAUCAAGUGAUUAUGAGAAAUGGUUAGUGGUACCCCGAUGCUAUGAGAGGCGGCAAUGGGAAUUGGGGGUCGCUAGAUCGAGAGAUGGACAGGUGUUCGAUGAUGAUAAGUUGAGAUUUCAUCACUUCAAGGAGACACAUAUGACGUAGGAGGAGUAGCGAGCAAGUACCUGUGGCCCUAUUUGCUAUGGCCGGUUUAGGGAAUAAGAGAUUUAGGGUGGGCCAUGAGAGUUAGAUGUUGACUCCACAUAUCACAGGAGUUAGUUUCUUUUAACAUUGUUUGUGGGUAUCCAUUAGGUGACCCAUGGGCGCAAUUUCAUACCCAUGCCCUACCCAUAUAUUUUGCGGGUAUGGAUACCCAUUACCCGUGGGUACAAAACCUCUCCAAGUCUUGCCCAUGCCCAUUGUUUUCGGGUAGGGUACCCAUGGGUACCCAUACCCAUGGGCAAAACUGCCAUCCCUAGCGUCAGAUCCACUCCACUAGCUCCCUGAUUCAGCUCCCCCAUAUGCUUUUCUUUGGGAAUCAACCUAUCUUCCCCUUCUUUGGACUCCUUGGAUUUCUCCAAAUCAUCAUCUCCCAGCAGAUCUUUGGUCCCUUGCUUGUAGCUAGGGUUUCUGGAGUUGCGUGCCUUCGGAUUAAUCUCAUAUUUGUCUUUAUCAAAGGACUUGCGGGUGUAGUUCUCUCUCCCCCUCCUCACGUUUUUUGUAUUGCCAUCCUUCUCUUCCCCCUCUGUUGAAUCUCCCCCUCCCCCUCCAAAUAUGCCAAAGCCUCUGUUCAUGUGGUCUUCUCUCUCCGGCGGCUCACCCACGAACCCUAGUCUGGAUUCUUCUUCUCCGCUCUCACAUACAGAUAGAGGGAGAUGAGUAUUUAUAUAUAGAAGGGCCGGAGCUGGCUAGCCCAUUGGGCCUCUCCACCCCACCAAAAAAAGACCUCACCUCGUCACCCCUUGUUGGGCCUGGGUCUAAGGCCCAGUCCUCAACCAGCCCGUCCCCAAUCUUAUUAAUUUUUUUAUAUGUUUUUCUCCUCCCCCAUGGUUUAUUGCUGUGUAAUCAGCUUUAACCUCACAAUUCCCCACCACCAGAAUAUGUGAAUCCAACUCAAUCUCCGACUAGAAGUCUGGGAUGGGUACAAUAGAAUUCAUUUUGGAUUUAACCUCUUCUCCACUCAUAUAAAUCUUUUGAUUCAAAGUCACAUUGGCAAUUCGAUCGUUUUUCGUAAGAGUAUCAAAAUCAGGUGGCAAUGCAUCCUUAUUUUCAGAAAAAAAAAAUAUUAUUUCUAAUCACUUUAUUAUGAAUAGAUUUUCUUAGCAUUUUCCUCCUACUACCAUUCCCCUUAGUCUAAACAUCACCAGAAUCUGAAAGCAAAUAUUUGUCAGCUUGUGAUCGAGUAAUACCUGAAUCCUCUGACGAGCUCCCAGAAUCCUCGUCGGACUCCUCCCCAGCCAGCAACCAGAAGCGAUUGCCGGCGGGGGAGCAGCCUAAUCCGCAAUGUGCAAUGUGCAACGAUGUUCUGAAGUGCAGUCAAGAACGAAAAUGUUGAAGACAAGUUUUUAGCAAUAUCACAUUGGACAAUGCCUGGUGCCAUGAUUAAGUUGUUGAGAGCUAACUUGUUGGAAAAGCGCAUGCUAGUGGGCAAGGCAAGCUAAUUCGUACUAGACUACCAGUAUACAAAGCUAUGUAUUGUGGGUAGUUGGGUGAUCAAUCACGCAUCACGUUCUUACCUAUCUACUCUCAUUUGGCCCCAAGUGCAACUUGUACCAACUGAUCAACUGACUCGGUUAAGAUGCAUGCACAAUUAUGGUAGUGAACACAGACAAAGAAAGCAACAAGCAACGGGUCAAUAUUGAACUGUUGAAGCCGGUUGGUAGGCAGGUGAUACGUUGGCUAUAUAUAAACGUGGGCGGCCAAAUGUAGUAGUAUAUACUGAGAACUUGUCAGUGAGAACUUGACUCGAUUAGUCUUGUUUUAACAUAUAAUAUGGACUGAUCUAGAAAUAGGGCUCCUGCUCCCAGUAGCUUAGCUAGCUUUAUAAACCCCACCCCAUGGCCAACAUCCAAUCAUGUUGGGUCGGUCUCUGAUUCCUACCUACCUACAGUGUUGGCGCCAGCUAUGGACAGCACUAGUAUCGAGAUCCAAGAGAUGGUGAGGAAUACAAGUGACAGGCUGGAGGCCGAUUUCUCCAAGCUUGGAACCAAGAUCCACAAAUUCCCACGAGGCCUACGGCAGGGGAUCAACGAACGCUACAUCACCCCGAGCUUCGUGUCCCUCGGCCCAUACCACCAUGGCUCAACGCACCUCCGGGAGACGGAGGAGUUGAAGCACGCAGCGGCCCACUACCUGUGCCGGAAGUCGGGUCACACAGUCGAGGAAGUCUACAGCAAAAUCCUUUCCAUCGCCGGUGCAGCCCGCGGCUGCUACGCUGAUGAUGCGGCGGCAGGUAUCACCGACUCUGAAUUUGCAGUAAUGAUGUUCCUCGAUGGUUGCUAUCUGCUGCACUAUAUGGACAUGGAUUUCACACGUCCUAUGUUGACCAAUCGGAUGAUCUUGUCCACGGGACCUUGCAUGCUAAGGGAUAUCUUUCUAUUGGAGAACCAACUUCCUUGGUUGGUUCUAGAGGCUCUUACGGACAUUUUGAUGACAUCUCCUGCAUAUCAUUUUGUGGUUGGUUAUGCACAAUUUUUCAAUGUCACCCCUUCAUCAACUUCAGAUUCAAACACAAGGAUCACUAUGGAUGAACUCGAUAAGUACAAGCCGCCACAUCUCCUUGGGCUCCUCCGACACUAUCAGAUCGGCAAUAUGAUUGACGACGGUCGUAUUGACAAUCUCGCAUACUUCUCCUCAGCCAGUAGUGCCAUUGAGCUGGCGGAACUCGGCAUCAAGCUGACCGCCACCAACAAACCAUGGUUCGCAGACAUGAGCAUCCACAUAGACCACCUCUUCGGCCAGCUCUCCCUGACGCCAUUGUUCAUAGAUGACAUCACUGCUUGCUAACUAGUCAACAUGGCAGUUUACGAGGCGUAUAGUGGCUUGGGUAUGUGAAGAAGAUGAGGGUAUAGUAAUUGGCAGGUGGGGCCCACGUCUCAUUUGCCACAUUAGUUGGUCAAAGUUGUUGAUCUUCAAACCCGACAGGUGGGGUCAACCUAUUGUUUUCUUUGUUUUCGUGAGCAAAUCAGACAACUAGUGAUCCGCGUUAUAGGUUAGACGCAAAGUUGAUGGUUUUUUGUGCUCUAGGACAAGUGUGAUAUCAAGUUGUUACUCUAGCCCAACUGUGGUGGUUUUGCAUAAAUGACUCACUCUAGUGGAGAUCGGAUCCACUGAAAAGAAGGUUGCAUGUGCACUUGUACAAGUUGUACCUGCAGUGAUAAAAUAAUAACUACUAGUACUAGAAAAAUCUGCACUUCCUGAACCAAGACACGCAGCUAGCGCGCAUUUGGAGGUCAGCGCCUUGAUCGGCUACAACGUAACAGCAAGGCCACAUGCUCGAUCAGCCAGCUACAACGUGCUAACAACCGACGCCAAACAGGCAAGAUUCAGCUUCCCCUAUCCGUUUCCUGAGAUUUCAGCCCGAACCUGGACGCUGCGACUUGUACGCAAGUUCUCCGCUCGCUCCUACUCGCAGCACUGCAGGCUUCAUUCCAGAGGUAGUUCCUUUCCUGAAUUGGGUUCCUUGUUUAUUUCUUGAUUCUUGUCUAGUUUUUGUGUGAAAAGUUAGAAUCUUGCUGAUGUUGGGUCGCCCGUGAUUUCUACCGACAGGUGUUGGCGCCAUGAACCUCACUGGUAUCAAGAUCCAAGAGAUGGUGAGGAAUACGAGGGAGAGACUGGAGGCCGAUUUCUCCAAGCUUGGAACCAAGAUCCACAGGUUCCCACGAGGCUUACGAGGGGUCAACGAGCGCUACAUCGUCCCGAGCUUCGUGUCCCUCGGCCCGUACCAUCAUGGCUCACCGCACCUGCGGGAGACAGAGGAGUUGAAGCACGCGGCAGCCCACUACUUGUGCGAGAAGUCAGGCCGCUCCGUUGAGGAAGUCUAUGACAAGAUCCUCUCCAUCGGCACUGAAGCCCGCAGCUGCUACGCCGAUGGUGCAGUGGCGAAGUUCACGGACGCUGAAUUUGCGGUAAUGAUGUUCCUCGAUGGUUGCUAUCUGCUGCUCUAUAUUACUAACGAUCCUGGAUGUGCUUUACUGUUAAAUCGGAUGACCAUGUCCACAGGGCCUUGCAUGGCAAGGGACAUCUUUCUGCUGGAGAAUCAACUCCCUUGGAUGGUCCUCGAGGCUCUUUUGGAGAUUGUGACACCGUCUCCAGUGUGCAAUUUUAUUGUUCGUUCGGCAAUAUAUUUCGAUAUCAUCCCACGUCCAUCAAAUACAAGGGUUUCUAUGGAUGAACUCGAGAGGUACAGGCCGCCACAUCUCCUUGGUCUCCUCCGAUACUAUCAGAUCGGCAAUAUGAUUGCCGAAGAACGUACCAGCAAUGUCCAAUUCACCUCAUCUGGUAGUAGUGCCAUUGAGCUCGCAGAAAUCGGCAUCAAGCUAACUGCCAGCAACAAAACAUAGUUCGCUGACAUGAGCAUCCAUAGUGGCUGCAUCUUCAGCCAGCUCUCCCUGAUGCCAUUAUUCAUAAAUGACUUCACUGCUUGCUGGCUCGUCAACUUGGCAGCUUACGAGGCGUGUGUGUCCACCGGAUGGCCAUCCGAUGGCUUCGUCAUCAGCUCCUACAUCUCCCUCCUGGCGAUGCUCAUGGACAAGGAAGAGGACGUACACGAGCUGCGAGCGAAGCACCUCCUUCGCAGCUUCAUCAGCGACCAUGAUAUGCUCGUUUUCUUCAAGGGCCUGGCUCGCGACCUGCGCCUUGGCAGUCGCUACUACGUCAUCCCGGCAAAGAUCGACAAGUUCAAACGUGAAAGGCCCGUGAGGGUCGCCGUACAUAAGUUCGUCUACAACAACUUCAAGACGAUUGUCACCGUGCUCUCUAUUGUUGGUGUGCUCGCGGGUAUCUUCAGAACCUUGAUGAGUCUCAAGCAGCAUCAGCCGUAGCAACUCGGAUGAAGCAUGUGUGUUUGCUAAACUGAUUUCUGAUUCAUCUUCAGUUUUCAUGCUUAUUGUGGUGUGUCUUUGUGUGUAAAAUUUGCUAGCCCCUUGCCCUCGAUCAUGAGUUGCUCGUUUUCUUCAAGAGCCUCGCGUGCCACCUGCGCCUCGGGCGCCGCUACUUUAUCAUUACAGGGAAGAUUGACAGGUUCAAGCGUCGAAGACUUGUGAGUAUCGCUGUGCAUAGAUUCGUAUACAAAAACUUNNNNNNNNNNNNNNNNNNNNNNNNNNNNNNNNNNNNNNNNNNNNNNNNNNNNNNNNNNNNNNNNNNNNNNNNNNNNNNNNNNNNNNNNNNNNNNNNNNNNAACGGGGAGGACGAUGCCACCCGUCAUGGCCGUAAAGGGCCGGAUUCGGUCGAAGACCUGGCGACGAUCCUGUCCGGCCUGUAUAAGGGGGAGAAGGAGGAUUUCCUUCGGAUGAACCCGUUAAAUGGGUUCUCCAUGAAUAAUCCCCGGCCUUGGGUAAGCGAACACUCUGCGUGCCCGACUCAUGCUUUUUGAAACUUAAGUUUCUUAUAUUGUGUUCUUCUUUCGACGCAGGAACUGCGCCGAAUCGUGGAGGACAUGCUAAGUCCAGCUCCGCAACCCGAGGAUCCAGAGAGAUCCCGGGAUCCGGCCUCCGAAGAGGAUCCGGACAUAAAGGUGGAGCUAAUCGACGGGGUGUUCCACCAGCUCAGCAUGGACAAUGCCUUAGUCGCCAUCACGGCCGACUAUCCCGGACUAUAUCCGGCUUCCCAGGUGAUUGCGACCGAAGUCCUGACACCGUCAUUCCUUCCUUGCUUAUUUCUGACCACCGUAUAUGAUGGCGCCGUGCAGGAGGCGCCCCUAGGGCGAGAAGCCGAGCUCGCGGUGGCUGACCAACAAAGGCCAGUCCGGACCAGUAGGCGGAAGAGGAGCGCGGCGCGGACUGAAACGUCACCGCAAAGGUGUUGCUCACAAUUCAUUAUUUAGAGCAACAUUCCUAGGAAGCGUUUGAGUGCUCAUGACUUUUGUAGGGAAAAAAGCGCCUGCCGGACUGCGGGCGUGGAGGUUGCCAAUCCAACCUCUACCAGCCAGGCUCCAGCACCUGGUCUGGAGGGGGAGGCGUGCGCAAGGCGCGAGCCGGACGUUCCUCCGACGGAGGAUGCCGACAGACUGUCCGCCACCAAGUCUGAGGUGGAGAGUGCCAUGAAUCACAGGCGCCGCCGGACAGUAUUUCGUGACGCGUGCUUCUCCCCCGAGGCGUUGAAUGCCUUUAACACGGGGGACGCGCACCUUCGUGCUGCUCAAGAUGGUUUUACCAGAGCCACGGAGCAGUAUGUAAAAGACAUACGGGUAAGAGAAUUUAAUAGUUGUAUAUGCCAGUAGCCCCCGAGAUUUAAAGUAGUUAUAUUAACUGAUUUAAGGAUCAUAUGAAACGUAGGAUCUUACCGAGAAGAAUACCCAACUGUCUCAGGAGCUGCAGGAGUGCAAGGCCCAACUUGAGGCCGCACUCUCUGGCGCAGGAGGAAACACAGGGACCUCUCCUGGUAACGCAUUAUUUUAGAAAGAUAAGUAGCGUUUGGCCUUUACGCAAGUCUAAAAAAUGACGUUGCAGGUGCUGCCGGACAAGAUCCGGACAGGCAAGAACUUUUGCGCCAACUGAAGGCCGGUGAGAGGGUGUUGCAUAAGGUGCAGCAUGAAAGGAACAAGCUCCAGGAUGCCCAUGCCCAGCUUGGAGAAGAGCUGAAAGGCGUUCGGGCCGAGCUGUCGGGCUCCGUUAAGGAGAAUCGGCGGCUUCGUCGCGGCAUCUAUAGUAAGUGCUUGAGCGAACUCCUUUGAAAAGAAGAGUUCGGCGAGGAAGUCGAUUUGACACAAUAUGUCUGCUGGUAUGCUCACAGGUCGCCCUGCGGAGGAGAUGCCCGUAUCAACGGGUGAUCAACUUCUCGAAUUGUUGCAACUGAUCGAAUGAGUUCGGCAGGCAAUGAGCGGCGUCAUCCAGGCUUUAUGGCCAGCCUUCUCCUUACCCGAGGGUCUUGGGGAGCUUGCAGAGAAGCUUCAGGGAGUGCGGCAGCGCUUCCAUUUAUGGAAGAUUUCGGCCUGCCGCCAAGGUGCCAGGGAGGCCUGGGCCAUGGUAAAGACACGGUACAAGAAGGCGGAUCCCAACCACAUGGCCGAAGUCGGACCUGUGGGGCCCGAUGGGAAGGAGAUCCCUGUGAGUUUAGUAUACGGCCAAGUAGAGUUGGCCGCUAAAUUUUCCCAACAGGACUGUAAAUUAUACAACCUGGUAGACAGGAUUGAGGAAGAAUACAAUCAGUGGAUUUGACAAUGUAUUAUAAAAUGACAUAUAAAAUGCCUUCUAGCCGGAUUGUAGAUCGUUUGUCUUUGCCGACCUUUUCGCUUCGACCUCGGGACCCUAGAGUCCGGAGUGUGUCCGAAUACCUUCUCCAUUAUGAAAGAACCGGGGUAUGCAUGGAGACCAGGCGUAGGGGUCAUUAGUGCUUUAUCAGACAAGUGUCCAACUAGUUAUGUUAUAUUACAUGGGUAGUAAGAAACAUCUUCCAGGGAGAAUAGUUCCGUUAAGGGUUCCUUUCCUCUGGGGGUGGCAUGCCCUAAAGUGCAUGUCAGGACUGCGAAAAAAAGCAGAAAAACAUCUGGGGGGCAGAUAAAUAAGUGGAUAAAAACCAUCUUUUAAGUCACCGACCGAAUAUUCCCUUAAGAACGCUAGCUUUCGGCUUCACCCAGUCUGAGGUACACAUCCGGCUGACCCGGCAGUAACAAUUGCAGAGGUGCUCCCUUUACCUCCUAGCCGAACAAUCGGGAACGUAGGGGUAAGCACAGGAGCCAGGCAACCCAGCUUGGCCAAAACUUAAGUCAUAUCGAUGCAUAUAAUGGUGAAUAAAAGGUACAUGUGGAGGCUUGACACAUGUGCUGGGCAUGAAGCCCUUAUAAUUAAGCUUCUGGUAAAGAAGCCCCCAGGUAUAAUGAGUGCGGAUAGCACAUCAAUUGCGCGCGAACGAUGCGCAAGUAGGCCUUUAAGGCUUUGAUGAAUAGGGUUGAGAAGAAAAAGAUAAACAAAAGGCAGCUGAAGUAAAAAAAUUUGGACGGGGGGAAAGGGACGAACUCUUAGUCCGGCGCUAGGCAUAGAAUCUUCGGAGGCGGGCUGCGUUCCAUGGGUUCGGCUCGAGUCGGUUAUCCGACGUAUUUCGUAGACGGUACGCUCCGCCGGUCAAGACUUUAUCGAUGAUGAAGGGGCCUUCCCAUUUGGGCUUGAGCUUGUCCUUUUUCUUGUCCGGCGGGCGUAGAACCAGUUCGCCAACGUUGUAAGUCUUGGCCCGUACUUCUCUGCUUUGGUAUCUUUGAGCAUGCUGCUGAUAAAAUGCGGAACGAGCCUUGGCGACGUCGCGUUGUUCCUCCAAUGCGUCCAAGCUGUCCUGCCGAUCCAACUCGGCUUCUCUUUCUUCGUACAUGCGCACUCGAGGUGAGUCAUGAAUUAUGUCGUAGGGCAAAACUGCUUCUGCGCCGUAUACCAUAAAAAAUGGUGUGAAUCCGGUAGUACGGUUAGGCGUUGUCCGCAGCCCCCAGAGUACGGAGUCGAGCUCCUCUACCCAGUGUGUGUUAGAUUUCCUAAGGGACCGCACUAGUCUGGGUUUGAUGCCGCUCAUUAUUAGACCAUUUGCUCGUUCCACUUGACCGUUGGUUUGAGGAUGAUAGACUGAAGCGUAAUCGAGCUUGAUGCCCCUAUUUUUGCACCAUGAUUUAACCUCAUCGGCCGUGAAGUUCGUGCCGUUAUCGGUGAUGAUGCUGUGGGGGACACCAUAACGGUGUACUACCCCAGAUAUAAAGUCUAUCACUGGUUCGGACUCUGCCGUUUUAACUGGCUUGGCCUCUAUCCAUUUGGUGAAUUUAUCCACCAUGAACAAUAGGUACCUUUGCUUGUGGGUUCCCCCUUUAAGUGGUCCAACCAUGUCAAGCCCCCAGACCGCGAACGGCCAGGUAAUGGGUAUAGUUUUGAGGGCGGUGGGUGGCAUGUGGCUCUGAUUAAUAAAGAGCUGACAACCGACGCAUCUUCGGACUAAGUCCUGAGCAUCUGCCCGGACCGUCGGCCAAUAAAAUCCUGUACGGAAUGCCUUUCCUACAAGGGCCCGGGCUGCGGCGUGGUGUCCGCCUAGUCCGGCGUGAAUUUCAGCCAGAAGGUCUCGCCCUUCCUCUUCGGAGAUACACCUUUGAAGGACUCCGGUUGUGCUUUUCUUAUAGAGUUCUCCCUCAUGGACCUUGUAGGCUUUAGAUCGCCGGACUAUGCAGCGGGCCUCAUUAUGGUCUUCGGGGAGUUCCUGCCUAAGCAAGUAGGCUAGGAACGGCUCUGUCCAUGGGGCGAUUACUGCCAUUAUGUCGUGAGCUGAGGGUGUUGUUUCGUCGGCUGGAUCGCCGGUUAUGUCAGAUUAUCCUGCGGCUGCCUCCGGUUUGUUAUUUCCGGACUCCUCUUCCCAUAGUACGGAUGGCUUGAACAGCUGUUCCAGGAAGAUAUUUGGAGGGACAGCGUCAUGUUUUGCGCCGAUGCGUGCCAAUAUGUCGGUCGCUUGGUUAUUAUCUCUGGCUACGGGGUGGAAUUCAAGUCCUUCGAACCGAGCUGACAUUUUAAGGACGGCGUUGCGAUAGGCUGCCAUUUUUGGAUCCUUGGCGUCAAAGUCUCCAUUUACUUGGGGUAUUGCCAGGUUUGAGUCCCCGCGCACCUCUAGGCGUUGGAUGCCCAUGGAGAUUGCCAUCCGGAGGCCAUGUAAGAGGGCCUCGUAUUCGGCUGCGUUGUUGGAGUCCGUCUACAUUAUCUGGAGUACGUAUUGGACUCUGUCCCCGGUUGGGGACGUUAGUACGAUGCCAGCCCCCAAUCCGGCCAACAUUUUGGAGCCGUCGAAAUGCAUAAUCCAAUUGGAGUAUGCGCCGUACUCUUUAGGGAGUUCGGCUUCAGUCCACUCAGCGACAAAGUCAGCCAAAACUUGCGACUUUAUAGCUCGCCGGGGUUUGUAAGUUAUGUCGAAUGGUAAGAGCUCAAUGGCCCAUUUUGCAAUCCUGCCCGUUGCGUCGCGGUUAUUUAUAAUGUCAUUUAGGGGUACUUCGGAGGCCACUGUUAUAGAACACUCUUGAAAGUAGUGUCGGAGCUUCCGGGAUGCCAUGAACACCGCAUACGCUAUCUUUUGAUAGUGCGGGUAACGGGACUUGCAUGGGGUUAAAACAGUGGAUACAUAGUACACUGGUUUUUGAAGAGGGAAUUUAUGCCCUUCUGUCUCUCGUUCUACGACGAGCAUCGCGCUUGCUACUUAAUGUGUUGCCGCGAUGUAUAACAACAUAGGUUCGCCCAGGUUGGGCGCAGCCAGGACCGGAUUCGUUGCCAAUAUGGUCUUUAUUUCUUCGAGUCCGGCAGUGGCAGCAUCCGUCCACUCGAAGUGUUCGAUGUGCCUAAGGAGGCGAUAGAGGGGCAAUGCCUUUUCUCCUAGGAGGGAGAUAAAGCGGCUGAGAGCCGCCACGCCUCCAGUCAAUUUCUGGAUUUGUUCGAGGUUUUUUGGAAUAUCCAACUGCGAUAGGGCUCGGAUCUUGGCCGGAUUUGCUUCAAUUCCUCUACCAGAUACAAAGAAGCCCAAGAGCUUUCCGGCUGGUACGCCGAAAAUGCAUUUUUCCGGAUUCAGCUUGAUGUCAUAUGCUCGGAGGUUGUCGAAUGUGACCCUCAAGUCGUCUACUAGAGUUUCGACGUGUUUGGUUUUGACGACUACGUCGUCUACGUAUGCCUCUACUGUUUUGCCGAUCUGGGUAGCCAGACAUGUCUGAAUCAUGCGCUGAUAUGUUACGCCGGCGUUUUUAAGUCCGAAGGGCAUCGUGUUGAAGCAGAAUGGUCCAUAUGGAGUAAUGAACGUCGUUGCGGCUUGAUCCGCUUCUGCCAUCUUGAUUUGAUGAUAGCCGGAGUAUGCGUCCAGGAAGCACAAUGAAUCGUGCCCUGCAGUGGCAUCGAUGAUUUGGUUGAUGCGGGGGAGGGGGAAGGGAUCCUUUGGGCAGGCUUUAUUUAGAUCUUUGAAAUCGACACAUAGGCGCCAGGAUCUGUCCUUCUUUGGUACCAUUACCAGGUUUGCUAGCCAAUCCGGAUGUUUGAUAUCUCUGAUGAAUCCAGCUUCCAAUAGUUUGGCUAGUUCUUCUCCCAUUGCCUGUCUUUUGGGUUCGGAAAAUCGUCGAAGAGCCUGUUUGACUGGCUUGAACCCUUUUAGGAUGUUUAGGCUAUGCUCUGCCAGCCUGCGAGGGAUUCCUGGCAUAUCUGAAGGAUGCCAGGCAAAAAUGUCCCAAUUUUCCCGAAGGAAUACUCGCAGCGCGGCGUCUACAUCAGGGUUCAACUGUGCCCCGAUGGAGGCCGUCUUUGUCGGGUCCGUUGGGUGGACCUGGAAUUUUAUAAUUUCGUCCGCUGGUUUAAAGGGGGUGGACUUGGAUCUCUUAUCGAGUAUCACGUCGUCUCUGUGCACCGUAGCGCGCAGCGCGGUGAGUUCCUCUGCCGCUAGGGCUUCGGAUAGUGCCUCCAGGGCUAAUGCAGCUAUUUUGUUUUCGGCACGGAGUGCAUUGUCCGGAUCACUAACGAGAGUGAUUAUCCCACCGGGCCCAGGCAUUUUGAGCUUCAUGUACCUGUAAUGGGAUACGGCUUGGAAAAUUGUGAAUGCCUCUCGUCCUAAUAUAGCGUGGUAUCCGCUGCUGAGCGGGGCCACUUGGAACGUGAUUUCUUCGGACCUGUAAUUGUCCGGCGAGCCGAACACCACAUCGAGUGUGAUUUUUCCGAUGCAGCAUGCUUCCUGGGUAGGGAUUAUUCCUUUGAAGGUUGUGCUACUUCGCUGAAUGCGGCUCCAGUCUAUUUCCAUUUUUUGAAGAGUUUCCUCGUAAAUGAGGUUCAAUCCGCUGCCGCCAUCCAUGAGUACCUUGGUAAGUCGAAAGCCGUCCACUAUUGGACUGAGGAUCAAUGCGGUUGGUGUUCGGGCUGUUCGGAAUUUAGGUUCGUCGCUGGCGUUGAAGGUGAUGGCCGCGUCGCUCCAAGGAUUUGUUGUUGCUACUUGGUAGACUUCGGCAAGGCUGUGGAUCGUUCGUUUCCGCAUAUUGUUUGAUGCGAAAGUCUCGAAGACGGUUGAUACCGUACCAGUAUUGUUGGUGUGGUUUCGCGGGGCUAGAAGCUCCUCGCCACUUUUGGCCACCUGCCGUAAUAUCCAACAUGCACGAAGGCUAUGUGUUGGGGUGGCGCCCUUGGUACUGUGAAUUGUACAGGGUUUGCUGAGCCAUCCAUCCAGUACUGUUCCGUUCCCUUUAAGGGGCUUCUGUUUUUUGGUUCCUGUACUUGGUGCCUGAGUGUAAUGCACCCUUUUGUUGCGGACUGGGGCUAUGUUCGGGGCCGGAUUAUCCCAAAACCUAUCUUCGGUUUUCCAGAAACUUUCUAUGGCACAGUACUUUCGCACUAUGGAUGCCAAGUCGGCGAAGCGCGUGAUUUCACGAUGGCUGACGGCGUUCAAGAUUCCCCUGUCCGUGCAAUUGUUGCAAAAGAUCGAGAUUGCAUUUUCCUCUCGGCAGUCCUUUAUCCGGUCCAUGACCAGGAGGAAUCUGGCCCAGUAAUGAUGUACUGUUUCGGCUGGCUCUUGCCGGAUUAGAGAUAAAUCGCAUAUAUCUGGACGGGCGGGCCUAAUUGAGCCCGGGACCCUGCCCAUCUCGAGGCUCAAGGGCCGAGAAGUUUCCGAAUUUGGAAGCUUGGAAAGUGGAACAUUGUCCAACGGGUCCGGUCCGAUGCCUGACUUUAUGUUCAGUGCUUGAUCGGAAUCCGCUCCUCCGCGGGAAUCCGGCAUGGAGGGUUCGGUAGCCCGGACACGACUAGUUUUCAAUAUGGGAGAAGGAUCGUCGCGAUGUUCCUCUACCACCGUGACGUGGUGGGUAACCUGGGGAGAGUUAAUCUCUCUCAGAUCGGUUUUAAGCCCGAUCCGACUGUAGUCUGUAGCGACUCCCAGGGCGGCGAUCUGAUCCAAGAGUUCGUUUACAGAUGAGAGCUCUGCUGGAUCUAACUGCUCGGCGAAUUCCGAGUUGACGUGAAGAUUGCUCUCGAUGACACGAGAGGUCAUCGUUGAAGCGGUGGCCGGACAGGCGGUCAUAAGAAAACCUCCUAGCCGGAUAGUUUGGCCGGCGGCCAAGGCUUCAUCGGCGAAGGUGCCGUCCUUGAAGACGGGAAGAGGCAUCCUUCCUAUCGGUGACGGCACAGAGGAACUCUCAAUGAAAGCACCAAUGUCGGUGUCAAAACCGGCGGAUCUCGGGUAGGGGGUCCCGAACUGUGCGUCUAGGCGGAUGGUAACAGGAGACAAGGGACACGAUGUUUUACCCAGGUUCGGGCCCUCUUGAUGGAGGUAAAACCCUAUGUCCUGCUUGAUUGAUAUUGAUAUUGUGGAUGUUUACAAGAGUGGAUCUACCACGAGAUCAAGGAGGCUAAACCCUAGAAGCUAGCCUAUGGUAUGAUUGUAAUGGUUGUUGUUGUGUCCUACGGACUAGAGCCAUCCGGUUUAUAUAGACACCGGAGAGGGCUAGGGUUACAUAGAGUCGGUUACAAUAGUAGGAGAUCUACGUAUCCGUAUCGCCAAGCUUGCCUUCCACGCCAAGGAAAGUCCCAUCCGGACACGGGACGAAGUCUUCAAUCUUGUAUCUUCAUAGUCUUGGAGUCCGGUCGAUGAUGACGAUAGUCCGGCCGAUGAUAGUUCGGCCGAUGAUGGUAGUCCGGCUAUCCGGACACCCCCUAAUCCGGGACUCCCUCACUAAGGGAUAUCUUUCUACUGGAGAACCAACUUCCUCGGUUGGUUCUAGAGCUCUUACGGACUUUUUUAUGCCAUCUCCUACAUACGCUUUUGUGGUUGGUUAUGCAGAAAUUUUCAAUGUCACCCCUUCAUCAACUUCAGAUUCAAACACAAGGAUCACUAUGGAUGAACUCGAUAAGUACAAGCCGCCACAUCUCCUUGGGCUCCUCCGACACUAUCAGAUCGGCAAUAUGAUUGACGACGGUCGUAUUGACAAUCUCGCAUACUUCUCCUCAGCCAGUAGUGCCAUUGAGCUGGCGGAACUCGGCAUCAAGCUGACCGCCACCAACAAACCAUGGUUCGCAGACAUGAGCAUCCACAUAGACCACCUCUUCGGCCAGCUCUCCCUGGCGCCAUUGUUCAUAGAUGACGUCACUGCUUGCUAACUAGUCAACAUGGCAGUUUACGAGGCGUAUAGUGGCUUGGGUAUGUGAAGAAGAUGAGGGUAUAGUAAUUGACAGGUGGGCCCCACGUCUCAUUUGCCACAUUAGUUGGUCAAAGUUGUUGAUCUUCGAACCCGACAGGUGGGGUCAACCUAUUGUUUUCUUUGUUUUCGUGAGCAAAUCAGACAACUAGUGAUCCGCGUUAUAGGUUAGACGCAAAGUUGAUGGUUUUUUGUGCUCUAGGACAAGUGUGAUAUCAAGUUGUUACUCUAGCCCAACUGUGGUGGUUUUGCGUAAAUGACUCACUCUAGUGGAGAUCGGAUCCACUGAAAAGAAGGUUGCAUGUGCACUUGUACAAGUUGUGCCUGCAGUGAUAAAAUAAUAACUACUAGUACUAGAAAAAUCUGCACUUCCUGAACCAAGACACGCAGCUAGCGCGCAUUUGGAGGUCAGCGCCUUGAUCGGCUACAACGUAACAGCAAGGCCACAUGCUCGAUCAGCCAGCUACAACGUGCUAACAACCGACGCCAAACAGGCAAGAUUCAGCUUCCCCUUUCCGUUUCCUGAGAUUUCAGCCCGAACCUGGACGCUGCGACUUGUACGCAAGUUCUCCGCUCGCUCCUACUCGCAGCACUGCAGGCUUCAUUCCAGAGGUAGUUCCUUUCCUGAAUUGGGUUCCUUGUUUAUUUCUUGAUUCUUGUCUAGUUUUUGUGUGAAAAGUUAGAAUCUUGCUGAUGUUGGGUCGCCCGUGAUUUCUACCGACAGGUGUUGGCGCCAUGAACCUCACUGGUAUCAAGAUCCAAGAGAUGGUGAGGAAUACGAGGGAGAGACUGGAGGCCGAUUUCUCCAAGCUUGGAACCAAGAUCCACAGGUUCCCACGAGGCUUACGAGGGGUCAACGAGCGCUACAUCGUCCCGAGCUUCGUGUCCCUCGGCCCGUACCAUCAUGGCUCACCGCACCUGCGGGAGACAGAGGAGUUGAAGCACGCGGCAGCCCACUACUUGUGCGAGAAGUCAGGCCGCUCAGUUGAGGAGGUCUACGGCAAGAUCCUCUCCAUCGGCACUGAAGCCCGCAGCUGCUACGCCGAUGGUGCAGUGGCGAAGUUCACGGACGCUGAAUUUGCGGUAAUGAUGUUCCUCGAUGGUUGCUAUCUGCUGCACUAUAUGGACAUGGAUUACCAGUAUGCUUUAUUGUACAAUCGGAUGACCCUGUCCACGGGACCUUGCAUGCUAAGAGAUAUGUUCCUGCUUGAGAAUCAGCUUCCUUGGUUGAUUCUAGAGGCUCUUACGGACUUUUUUAUGCCAUAUCCUGCAUACUACAUUGUUAUUGGUUUGGCGAAAAAUUUUGAUAUCACCCCACAAUAUUUAUCAGAUUCAGAUUCAAAUGGUGCAAGGGUUUCUGUUGACGAACUCAAGAUAUACAGGCCGCCACAUCUCCUUGGGCUCCUCCGGUACCAUCUGAUUGGUGAUAUGACUGGAAAAGAUCAUACUCACAGUCUCACUUGCUCCUCACUAGCCAGCAGUGCGACUGAGCUCGCGGAAAUCGGCAUCAAGCUGACCGCCAACAGCAAGACAUGGUUUGCAGACAUGAGCAUGCAAAGAGACCCUAUCUUGUGCGGCCAGCUCUCACUGGCACCAUUGUUUAUAAAUGAUGCCAAUGCAUGCUGGCUCGUCAACAUGGCAGCUUAUGAGGCCUGCGUGUCCAGCACAACUCCAGCAGAUGGCUUCGUCAUCAGCUCAUACAUCUCCAUACUGGCAAUGCUCGUGGACAAGAAAGAGGACGUGCACGAGCUGCGGACGAAGCACCUCGUUAACAGCUUCUUCAGCACCCAUGAGCUGCUCGUUUUCUUCAAGGACCUUGCUCGCCACAUGCGCCUCGGCUACCGCUACUUUGUCAUCACGGAGAAGAUUGAGAUGUUCAAGCGUGAAAGGCCUGUGAGGAUCGCCGUGCAUAGGUUCGUAUACAACAACUUCAAGACGAUCAUCACUGUGCUCUCUGUUGCUGGUGUGCUCGCAGGUAUCUUCAGAACCUUGAUGAGUCUCAAGCAGCAUCAGCCGUAGCGGUUCGCGGUGAAGCAUGUGCGCUGUCAAAUUAUUUUGUGAUUCAUCUACAGUUUUCGUGCUUAUUGCAGUGUGAUCGAUGUCGUACGUACGGACUCCAUGUGUAAAAUUAUCCCAUCACAUCCACCUUGUUUUGAUCCCUUACUAGAUCUACAUGGUGUGACAUAUCCAAUCACAGUAUAUGUAUUAUGUAUAUCCUGUGUGUAUACCUGCUUGUGCUAUCAUUAGAAAUCUGUCUUAGUCAGCCCCUUCCCUUCGAUCGCCUCUUAGUUUGGUGUGUGUCGAAUGCACCUGUUUUCCAAUUCUACACAUGUUUAUAAGACGAUAAUCACAGAUAUAGCAUCCUGAAGUCUCUUCUCUUGGAUCAUCGAUUCGAUCUAAUUGUACUAUUUUACCCAAACGGAGGGACUGGACUUACCACCGCCACUCUUCUUAUUCUCGAACCCUGUUUGACGGUGUAUCCCCAGAACAGAUAGUGGACAAUCCAUGCUCAUGCAGUUUUGACAUGGAUAGGAAGAUACACAUGGAUGGACGUUCGCUAGUCAGACUAAGAGAUUCCAAUCAUUUCAGGUCGAUCUCAAAACAAUACAACACCUAAAAGAUAUAAAACCAAGGGACCAAUUGAAAAGCAAUUGCGGCAAAUGAUUCGGGUUAUUGCAGACAUGCACAUAUUAACAGCAAAAAGAAAAGGUAACACAACACAAUCACAGACAGUUUGUCAUUCAAGAUACACAUUUAAAAACAAACACCAAGUUAGAAAGUGAAAAAAAAACAGGUCACACAAAUGAAGAUGGUCACACAAAAGGAGUACUGAACUAGAAUGUCACCAGUAGAGAAUGGCUUCUAGAGCACAACAUGGAAAUAAAUCCCAUCAGAGCCUGCCUCUAUAUAUACUGUCAGAAUACAUAUGCUGGCUCUCGCUUAUUGGAUGGGUGGAUACUACACUGGAAAAUCACCCUCUUGCAAUGUUGGCUCCAUUUUACAACGCAAAUCGGUCCCAGACUACAGCAAGCCGUGCUCAUUUACCUAACCAAAGGGAGCUGCCUGUGCAAAAUUAGAACUGUGAAGUGCUUGCUUGGACUCUGCUGUUCUGUGCGCUCUAUACUCAAACAUACUAUCAUGCAAUGUAACAUAUCUGUCGUCCUCAUCAACUCUCACAUGGUAUCAGACUCCUAGCCCGGGCUAGGAAUCUGAUACCAUGUUAGAAUUGAUAAAAGACGACACGUACAUCUUCAUUGCGAGACAAUAGGCCCAAAUAUAUAACACACAAGUGCAAAAGAGACCAAAUCAAAGACAACACAUUACUAAUCCUGUACAAACUAACCACAGCACAACUGAUGUGCUACAACAAACAAACUCCUACAUGACACACAAAUGAAUCCUAGACCAGUCAUGUUCAUUUACCUAAGCAAUCCAUAAAUGUUUGUACAAAAUUAGCAAUGCGGAGCAAUCGAUUGGACUCUGAUGUUCCUCGUGCUCUAUAUUCAAACAUACCACCAUACAAUGAAAUAUAUGUGUUAUAAUUUUCUACCCAACUUGGUAAUCAGAGCCAUAGCAUAAAGGGCUAAAGCUAAGAUAUCUAGUUAGGAUUGAUAAAAACAACACAUGUUCACUGGGUGACAAUAUGCCAAAAUAUAAAAAAGAGGCAUACAAGAGACCCAUCAAAGACAACACAUGACCUAAUGUUGUACUAAGACCAGUGACAUAAACAAAGCACAGCUGAUGUGGUGCUAAACUGGAUACAGAUAAAGUUGCGAGGAUGUGAUGCUACACUACAUUCUAAUAAAGUUGGCAAGAGCACAGCACUUAUAAGUGAUAUCCUGCUUCAUUCACUAUAUAAGAAACAAGAGAGUUCACAAGCUUUGGCCUAUUUUUUUCAACAAUUAGCCAUAUAAUGUGUUUAUUUGGACCUCAGUGUCCCAUAUAUUUGGUCUACCAUGUAAAUAUGUCGGUAUGUGUACUUCAAUGGUAAGCAUUGUAUCAAAGCAAUAACCAGAAGAUACCACUGAUGCAUUAGCAUUGUAAUUUGUAAGCCAACAAAGCUAUAUAGGAAGUACAAGUACACAGGGAACUAAAUACAAGACUACUCCACAGGCAAUGAAUAGCAUCCUAGAGCACAAACUAGAAUGUAAAACAGUGCCAGUUAUAGUGCAGUGAAACGGCCAGCAUGAAUAAGCUACAAUCAUUACUGUAAAAAACAGACAAGCAAGAUAGUCAUAGAAUGUCUACACUACUGAUCACUAACAAACGAGGCCUAGCAGAAUGCACAAGCAAGAACCAGAACACCACAAGAGCAAGAUAGAUUAUACCAAAAUCAUUACAAAACAAUAAUAUUAAGACACAACAGACAGCAUAUCUCACGAAGUAAUAACGCGGAACAAAAUUCCAACAAAGAUCUAUUCUUCACAUGAUUCAACACAUGAAACACCAUCAUAUCUCAUAAGAUCCACGCUAAACACAGAGUCUUCAUGGGCAAUUACCAAAACAGGGACGGAUACCAAGAGCAAGCAGCUAAAAAUGUAAACGGGUUCAGGUAGUAACGGCAGAGAAACGCCCUGCGCGGUCGGCCUGCAGGCCUAGAAGCGGAGCUUGGUGAAGAACCACCUGUUCUUGCCGGUCUUGAACCUCUCCUCGAGCUUGGCCUUGGCGGCCUUGGCGGCGCCCACCUUCUUGUCCUUGGAGGUGAGGGAGUCGGGCGCGCCGGAGGCCACCUCCUUGAGGUCGACGUCGAGGGUGUAGCGGGUGGGCAUGAGGUGGGUGAAGUUGACGAGCUUGAGGAACACCUUGACGCGGGACUUCUUGGCCGUCUUCUUGGCCGAGUCCUUGCGGAUCACCUUCUUCGGGUACUUGGCCAGGCCGGCGACGAGGCAGUGCCCGUAGGGGCGGUCGCGGGUGCCCUCCU
RNAcentral lists this long non-coding RNA (57664 nucleotides) under Triticum aestivum (bread wheat). RNAcentral describes it as "long non-coding RNA (TAES_LNC017069)". The record is from RNAcentral. Lineage: Eukaryota; Viridiplantae; Streptophyta; Magnoliopsida; Poales; Poaceae.